AAUUCAUGAACUCAAAAUUGAACACACUAAGGGAGUACGAUGUCAUGCACAUACCUACUAAGUUGUUAGACGACCAAUAAGCUUGAUGGAAAAGCAAGGUUAUAAUUCAAAACUAUCCUUAACAAAGAAUGGAAUGUGCCUAUCGAGCUUAGCUGACACCCCUUUCAGAUACACAACAGCAUUAAUUGGACAACCCUGCUUAAUACCCACGGUUGGCCCCAUAGACCGAGCCAUAAAUAAUUGAGUGAUGGAUUUAACUUUUGAGUCAACCCAGUCAGUCUAGUUUUCAAUCGUAAUAAAAGAUUCUGAUGAUAAGAAUUGUGAAUCAAAUCGAUCCUUCAUGGUGGAAACAAACCAAUUCAAUUAGUGGGUCUAUUUUAAACUCCCCCAAAAAAGUUAAUAAGUCCGUUAGCUCUAGAGGGAGAUUUGUACUAAAAAAGAAUAAAUUAUUAGUGUUACUUAACAUUUCAUCCUCACUGGUAUAAGUUUCAAUGGCACAUAUGAUAUUAUCCAAUAGUUCAUAUUCAACAGAGAAGAUGGAUUCGAGAUCAUCAUCAUUAAGACAAAUUUCAAUUUUUUUCUCAAAUUUCUGAAUUAUCUCAACACACUUAUUUUUCUUAAGCCAUCUCAAGACAAAUAACCAACCUGUCUCCCUCCCCUCUCUUUCAUAAGUACUCUCCACAAGAGUUAAAUUCUCAAUAAAUUCAGCCCCUCCAAAAAUUUGAAUCCACAGUCACUUUUCCUGCGUGAGCGAAAUGAAAGAAGGAGGGAAAACAAUUCAAAAGCACUCAUCUAGGCUACGCAUGACAACGCUUUUUAGUUGGGGAAAAGUUUUUUUUUUUUUCAGAAAUAGUUCUUUUUUAUUUCUAUUCCGGGGAAUAAUUUCUGAGUAAAAGAACAUGUUUGGUAACUACACAAAAUUUCUAUUCUUGGAAUAGAAAAAGAAUAGAAAUGCGUUUGAUAAUGCAACAGUUUCUUUUUUGUAUUUAUUCAUUUUUUAUUCUUGGGCAGCGACCGGCAGCGGCGGGCGGUGGGCGACCGGCAGCGGUGGCAACCGGCGACGGCGGCCGGCAACGGUGGUCGGUAGUGAGUGGUGGCUCCGAGCGGUUGAAAGUGGCCGUGGCAAGAGAGAGAAAUAAAAGAAAAAUAAAAAAGAAAAUUAGCUUAUUUCUAAAAAUUGUUCCCGAGAACAAGAAGCAACUUUUUUUUGCUUCUCGUUUCUGCUCCAAAUCUAUUCCUAGGCUAACUUUCUAUUCCCGGGAAUAGAAAAACAACUUGGCGUCACGGGUUUCUGUUCUUUUCAAAAUAACAGAAAUUCUAAGGAACAAAGACGUUGUCAUGCAGUGCCCAAACCCCCCCCUAAUGCCCCCCUCUAUUCCAAAGUAAAAUUUUGUCUUCCCUACUUAGGAUGGAAUUCUCCUAAAUUUUAGUCUUAGAGUUUAAAUAAAGCAGUUUAAGAGAGUACUCAGAUCCACCUGUCCCAUCUCCAUCUCUCUCUUUUUUUUCUUAAUUUGUAAGAUUCCUUUUGAGAAACGGCACUAAAUGCUGCUCUAGGUUUUUCACUUGUGAUGAUGGAAAAGCUUCCGCCUAACUUUCAACUCUCUCUCUCGCUCGCUCGCUCACGUCCCCAGACCAGAUCAAAGAUACCCUUCAAAAGCACUCGUCCUCUUACCCAGGUUCAUCCGCCCCUAACUCUUUCCUCAUUUUACUCUCUUCCCAUCACUCAUAAUGCUCCUCCUCAUCCGCCUUGCCAUUUAUCGCUACCACCAUCAACCUUCCGAGGCAUCCGAAGGGUUGGCUUCUGGCACGCGCGCACCUUAGCAGGAGUAGUGCUGGUGACUAGCUCCCUCUGGACUUCACUUCGUCCAUUUCCACAUGAAGUAAAAAAAACCACACGCUAGCAAGCAUUAUAUGGUCCUUACAAAAAAUUCUUGGAUUAUGUUCGAGAUUUUUACUAGGUCCGUAUUUUUUCUAUAAAUUAUGUCCUUUAUCAGUGUAAAGCAAUUUCUACACAUUGGGCGUUGGAUAGGGCAACAUGUGUAAUAAUGCAAUUUGAUAUUUAUCCAUGUAUUUUCAUACAUAUAAGUGCCGCGGAAUCGGGGGAGAACAAAUAUUUGAACUCUCAAUAAGUAUGUUCUGGGGAGACAUUACCAAACGUCCAAACUAAGGCUAAGAUUUUUCAGCACAAUUUUCAGCACAUUUAUUAGCCACUUUCUAAAAUAAUACUUUACAAUAUUCGUAGUAGCCACGCUCAAACAAUUUACGGACAUACUGUGCUCAAGACGAUCAGCACAUCACAUCAACUUCUUUAUUUUAUAGAAGGGCUUCUUCACCCUUUUCUUUUUUAUAUGGCCCGGACAAAUUCAUCUUGCCAAAAAAAAAAAAAAACAAAUAUAACUCUAUGGAUGGGCUGAGGUACAAAAAACUAGCAAUGCCAUCUUUCAUUAUAUCUUUCAUAUAAAUGGUGAUUGAUUGCAGCGCACCAUGUGAAACCCAGCGUAAAACGUAAGCUUAUUUGCUUAAUCUCCGCUAAAAAGGUUCAAAAAAUUGGUCCCCCACUGUCUCUCCUUUUUGACUGNNNNNNNNNNNNNNNNNNNNNNNNNNNNNNNNNNNNNNNNNNNNNNNNNNNNNNNNNNNNNNNNNNNNNNNNNNNNNNNNNNNNNNNNNNNNNNNNNNNNUGACACCCCUAGGGAGAUUCUAUUGAGAAACGGCACAGUGCCAUGCUUCUAUAGCAUUCCACUUGUCAUGAUGAAAAGCUUCAACCCAACUCUCGCUCAAUCAUGUCACCAGAGCAGCUCCAACUUACCCUUCAAAAGCACUCUCUCACGAGAAGUACCUAAACUUCAUCCCACCUCUCCCGAGCAACACCGACACGUGAUAUGAACACGCGACACAAUAUGAUACAACAUGUCCAUACAUCAUUUCUCGAAAAUAAAAAAUUUCAACACGUUAAAACACGUUAUAUAUUAAAUAAAUAUUUUUAUUUUUAAUUAGUUUGAUUCAAAUUUACAAAUAAAUAAAUAAUAAUAAAAGAGCUUACACUAAUAAUAUUUUCUUUUUUUUUUGGUAAAGGGUCCAUUAGUAGGAAAUUCGAAAGACAUGUUCAUAGUUAAUAUGUAUUCAUGUUUGGGAACAUGUUUCUAACUUUAAUAAAAAUUAUCGAUGAAAUUAAUGGCUAAUAAAAUAUUAGAAUAACUUAUUUAAAUAAAUCUAUCAUCUUCUAUAAUGAUCAAAAUUUAUUAUUAUUUAAUAUUUAGUAUUUUUAUUUUUCGAAAUCACUUUUUAGCCCCACUUAUUUUUUUUUUUGACCAAAAAAAAAGCCCCGCUGUCCAAAAAUUAUUUCCCUCUCUUUUUAUUUUUCGAAAUAACUUUCUGCCUUGCCUGCUUCACAGCCGCAAUCUCGCCUCCGGCCCUCUAUCACGGCAUCACAAUCGCAGCCCUCCUAAUCGCCUCGGUCUCUGCUCUUCCACUGGCCCUUCUUGCAGUCGCAAACUCGCCAUCACUUGUGGCCUCACCUCCACUCCCUCGCCCUUGCCUCCACCCUCCAUCACCUUCUUUAAUGAUUCUCUCUCCCAUUGCACUUACAAACCUACCCUAGAAACCACCAUGCCUCUCGCAAUUGUGAACACGCAUGUUGGAAUGUGUCAAAAAGAGUUGACCACGCGUCUGUAACAUCCCGGGUCUCACUGUGUGAUAUUAUCCGCUUUGGACACUGAGUCCUCACGGCUUUAAAACGCGUCACACAUAUUAAGGGACCCAAGUCAUUAUAAAUUGGCCCAAGACUCUCUCCCUAGGCGAUGUGGGACAAGGACCCCUUCCUUGCGCACGUCCGGGGACCGAGGCGCGGACGCACCGCCAUCCCUCCUCCCCACGCACCGCCGCUCGGGCCGUCACACUCUCCCCCCUUGGGAGCACAGCGCCCUCGCUGUGGCCCCACACGCGGUCGGGAGUCGGCUCUGAUACCAUUGUAACAUCCCGGGUCUCACUGUGUGAUAUUGUCCGCUUUGGACACUGAGUCAUCACGGCUUUAAAACGCGUCACACAUAUUAAGGGACCCAAGCCAUUAUAAAUUGGCCCAAGACUCUCUCCCUAGGCGAUGUGGGACAGGGCCCCCUUCCUUGCGCACGUCCGGGGACCGAGGCGCGGACGCACCGCCAUCCCUCCUCCCCACGCACCGCCGCUCGGGCCGUCACAGCGUCAAAAAUCCAACACAUAUUGGCCGCAUGUCCGAACUUGUCCGAACGUGUCCAACAUGCUCGAUUACGUGUUAGGGUGUCAGAGAACACGUAAAACGUGUCCAUGUUUCAUAGCACCUAACUUCUUCCUUUGCUUUUCCUCUCUUCCCAUCACUCCAUAUUCCUCCUCCUCCUCCUCCUUCAUUGCCAUUAUAAGGUCGGCUUCUGGCACACUCGCUUUAGCAGGAGCAGCACAGGUAAUUAGCUCCCUCCGGAACUGGCGUUCGACGCUAAUUUAAGACCAGCUCAAUCACCCCAGUCCAAGACAGUGCAACAGGGACCAAGAGAGGGAAAAUGUUGGCUCAGAGUAUCAUCUCUGUAUUCGCAAUAUAGAUGCGACCCACAGGGGAUGUGGUAAGACAGAAAGAUCUCAAACUUGGAGUUGGAGAUCACAUCUAGACUUAUCGGCUGUAUGGCCUAUACACCCAUCAUGGUUAGUGUUUCAUCCUCUUCUUCCUUUUCCUAUUAAUCGUUAUCAUUUUUCUUGAACAUGUAUAUCUUCAUAUGUGGCUCGAUUGAAUUUUCCUUUAUUAUCCUAUGUUUUUGGCCCAAGAACAGUAUUUGCAUAGCCUCAGAGAUAAAGACUCUCCUCCACCACCGUCGCACGUUCCGGCCGCUCCCCUCCGGCGGCCCCAUUGUCGAACCCUCUUCUCAGCUUUUCAGGAGUUCGACGAAAUGCCAGAGAGAGAACCUGACUGACCUGUGCUUCAUUUCUUUCUUUCCGGUCGCCGAUCCAUUUCAAGCUUCGCCGUUAUACUUCUCAGCAGUUCCAGCUUCGACCGUCUUCAUCUCCAGCGAAUCUCCAUCGUAGACUCUCCGCUUCGCGACUUCGUUUGUGUUGACGAGGUGUUCGACAAAAUGCCGGAAAGAUGGUAAGAUUGAAGUUCUCCUCCAGUCCGCAGCGCCACCAUUCCUUCUGGUAGCUGUUAUGGUCCAGGUUUUCAAGGGCGUCAACCCAGCAUCUUCCCCCCACUGCCGACAACGAUCCAUCACGCAGGACAUAGAUCCAGCAAUGCAGCAUCGGAUAGCAAGUACGCCCAAGUUGUCGUCAUCAGGAAACAAGCUUGUCGCAGUUCCUCCCCUUGAGGCUUUAGUCGAGGGUAAAAUACAUUUGAAAGUUGUCUUGUUGGAUAUUUCCUUGCUACCAAUGCAUCAUUCUACUUAGUGAAAGGUAUUGUGGAGAAAUUGCGGUGAUUCUACAGUAACUAUUUAGUACAUGUGGAAUGAUUUGGACAAUCGAUUCUUUUUCUAUAUUGCAAAUAUUCAUUAUUGAUUAUAACAGGAAUCUACGUUGGAGAGGGCAAGGUGAUUUACUUAACACGAACAGGAGUUGAGGAGAUGAGUAUCCAUCACUUCCAUCAAGAAGGCAAGAAACUCUAUUCCCUCCGUUUAUAUGCAUAUGGGCGGCCACAACUUGGGUAUUGGCUCUCGAAAUGGGGGACUUGCACCAGCUUACCCAAAACCAAAUCGCCCCAGGAAGUCGUGAACAAGGCUCGCGAGCUUCAUGAGCACGAUAGUUUUGGCAAGUACGACCUCAUCAAUAGCAACUGUGAGCAUUUCGCCUCGUUUUGCUGGGCCAGCAUUCAGGCAAGCACACAGACAGCAUUGGUCAGUGCUUGUCUGUAGAAGACCAGUGAAGUCAAAGAAUGGCUCAUGAAGUUUCUGCGGACAAAGUAAGUUCGAGUGACUCAAAAUUCCACGAAUCCUUCCUUCCCUGUCUUUUUACUAGCAACUAUUUUCAUCUGUUUGGGAGUCAUUGUCUGUCAUCCAGCAGUAAAACGAAUGAAACUUUAGUUUUGUAUAUCCACUUCUGGACUGGAGUGGGCAGUGAGAGACAUGCACACGUGCACGGAGGAAGAACUGAGAUAAGAAAUUGUAUGUAAGCCGCAAAGCUAUGUUCAUUGUUAUUUGAUGUGCCCAGAAAUAUGUAAGGACUUCUGUCUGUUGGUGCUCGGUCGUCCUAGUUAGACUUGCCAAAAGAAGGUAACAUCUAAUCCUGAAUGAAUUUUUCACAUUCAAAUCAAUUCACUUUGGUGCAUGUUGGAUACAUUCUUUGGGCAUUCGAGAAAUAAUUGGAGAAACAAAACAACAGUGAAAUCGCACUAGACUAUCAAAAGAGUUUGUUCCACAAGUGCACAAUUUUUUCCUUCUCAGCGACCUCUCUCUCUCGACAAUAUUGUCAUAUAUUUUGUUGUUCUUGCUCGGCCACCAUUGUCAUUUACUUUAAAGCAUGAAAUGAAUGACCUUGUUUUUCUUCACGGUGAUCUCUCUCUCUCUUGACAACAAGGUUCCAAUUAUAUAAUAUGAAUUGGGUGGCCACAUGUAGCAGAGGGUUUAAGUUAGAUUGGUGCGCUGUUGACGUGGUCUGCACCGUUAACAAAGACGCUCUAGCAGAUUUACUUCUAUCCUUCCUGUAAAAGUUGGACAAAAAGAAAAGUUUGAAUCGGUCCUACUUGGUGGCUUUAUACUAAAAAUAAAAUAAAAUAAAAAGGGAGAAACUGCCUCAAUUAAUGAGCUAUCUCUUCACUUCACACACAUAAAUAGCACCUGUAGCAUAGCGCAAGUGCCAACGAGUUCUAUAACGUUACUGAGCAGUCAUUCUGUUCAUAGCUGAUAGCGAAAGCCUCCAAAUUAAGUUCCAUCAAUUAAGAAGUACAACUUCAAGCGCACUCUAUCUAAAUGAAGCUAUCGAGAAAAUGUCUGAAGUUCUUUUCUGAGAAGGGCAUAAGGAAGGUUAUCUCUUUUAUGUUGCACAUACUCAUUAUUGAUUACAACAGGAAUCUACAUUGGAGAAGGCUAUGUGAUUAACUUCACAUGAACAAGAGUUGACAAGAGGAGCGUUGAUUGCUUCUGGCAAUAAGGCAAGAACCUCUAUUCCCUCCGCUUAUGUGUAUAUGGGCGGCCACAACUUGGGUAUUGGCUGACAAGAUGGGGUACUUGCACCACCCAGGGAGGCAUGAACAAGGCUUGCGAGCUUCAUGAGCACGGUAGUUUCAGCAAGUACAACCUCAUCAAUAACAACUAUGCGCAUUUCACCUUGUUUUGGCAGACCGGCAUACAGGCAAGCGCACGGACAGCAUUGGUCAGUGCUUCUCUGCAGAAGAUCAGUGAAGUCGAAGAAUGGUUCAUGAAGUUUCUUCAGAUGAAUUAAGUUCAAGUGACCCAAAAAUUCCACGAAUCUUCCCUUCCCAAUCUGUCUUUUUACUAGCAAUUAUAUUCAUCUGUUUGAGAGUCAUUGUCUGUCAUCCAGCAGUAAAAGGAAUGGAACUUUAGUUUUGUAUAUCAAGUUUGGACUGGAAUGGGCGCAAGAGACAUGCAGGUGUGCGCGGAGGAAGAACUGAGAUAAGCAAAUGUAUGUGAGCCGCAAACCUAUGUUCAUUAUUAUUUGAUGUGCCCAGAAAUAUGUAAGGACUUAUGUCAUGUUGGUGCUCGGUUCUCCUAGUUAGACUUGCCAAAAGAAGGUAACAUCUAAUCCUGAAUGAAUUUCGCAUUAAAAUCACUUCAAUUUGGUGCAUAUUGGAUACAUUCUUUUGGCAUUCGAGAAACAAUUGGAGAAACGAGACAACAAUGAAAUCGCACUAGACUAUCAAAAAGAGUUUGUUCCACAAGUACUCAAUAAUUUCCUUCUCAGCAAACUCUCUCUCAACAAUAUUUGACAUUUAUUUUGUUGUUUCUUGUAGCAUAGAACGUUACAGAGAAGUCAUUCUGUUCAUCUCUUUUAACGAAGACAGCUGAUAGCCAAAACCUCCAAAUCAAGCUGUAUCAAGUUUGGAAGUAAAACUUCAAGCACACUCUACCUAAAUGAAGCUAUCAAGAAAUUGUCUGAAGUUCUUUUCUGAGAAGGGCAUAAGGAAGGUUCUCUCUUUUACCUCAAACUGUUUACAAGAAUGAAAAACCAAUCCGAAGGAUUUUAGUCAUUAUGUGCAAAAUGUUUUUGCUUCAUUCAGAUAACCUGGCAGAAUGGUUAUUCCUAAGGACAAGGCGCAUCGUAAGAUAAGUCAAGCAGGAAGGUACUUUUUUUAGCACAAAGCCACAUAUAUGGAGUUCACUCCGAACCCAUUUCUCAAAUUUAUAUAUCACAAUCCACAAAGCAAUGCGGGCUGCUAUUUGCUAUGAAAAUUUGAACAUGUAGUCGAUGCUUAUUUGAUCGAAUAGGCCAAAUGAGUUUCACAUGGGAAGGAUACUGAAUAGUGUGACCAAUGACUGCUCUGUUCAUGCAAGCAGACAAAUUCCCUGCUGGUGAACAAAUCGAUCAUGCAUGGUGCCUUCAAGACUUUUUGAUCACAUCACAUGAAGUACGAACAACAUAAUAAAUAAAUUCAAGCAUUUAAUAUUCUGUUAGCACUGGCAGCUUCUAUUGAUUCCAAUUCUUUCACGAAUUUAGUCAUGGAAGGCCGAAACCUAGGAGUCUCUUCAACGCAUUUUGAGGCAAGCUUUGCUACUUGGAAUGCAGAACAUCUAUUAUAUUUGCCCUUCAAUCUGGAGUCCGUUAUAGUCCACAGUUUGUUUUUACUGGAUAAGAAUGGUCCAGCCCACUCUACUAAAUUAGCUUUGCCUCGUGGACGUCUCCAAUCAAAUGCCCUCAAGCCUAUUAGUAUCUCAAGCAGCACGAUACCGAAACUGUAAACGUCACUCUUUACACAUAGACGCCCUGUAAAAUCCAAGAGUUUUAUGUGAUGUUGCAGUGAAACAUUAGAAAAUAACUUCCUGAUAUUAUUGUCAAAAUUCAAGACUAAAUUUUUUUCCACACUAAGGCUCCAUUUUUGCUAAAAACAAUUUUCUGGAAAAAGUUUUCCGGAUUUUCCGGUACUAAUUUCGUAGAAAAUUAACUAAUUGAGAGAAACAUUUUCCAUCAACGAAAAAAAUCUUUUAAAAUAGAGAAAAAUGUUUUCCUCUUUUCAAGUAGGGGAAGACAUUUUUCUCACCCAUUCUCUAUUAUCUCACACUCUUGCUAGCCCUCACUUUUUUCUCUUAUUUCUUUUUUAAAAACGGCAAUGCUAUUUCCACUCCAUCUAUGACUAAAUCCACCCCAUUUUCACCAAGGAAACAAGAUUUCCCUUGAUCAUUUACUUGCAAUUUAAAGUGGUGGUCCCAUUUCUUUUUUUCUUUUUUUCUUUUAUUUUCACCUCCAUCUAGAAUCCAAUUGCCAUAAUUAAGCAUUUUACAUAUUUUUUUUUUGGUCUAUUAUGGGCAUCCUAUAUAUUUUUUAAGAAAAUAUAUAUCAAGUCUCUUUAAUUACAACAUAAAGAAUUUGUAUUUUUUUCUUUACUAUUAGUCAGAUACUACCACAAAGAGCAUGUGAGACAUUGUAAGAGCAUCUAGGAAUAUGCUAAAAUCAUCGAUGUGAAAAAGUUAUGUAUAAUGAGGUAUUUAAUUUUUUUUUUAUUGUGAAUACUUCAUGUAUGCUAUUAAUUUUUGUCAAUCCAAAAUGAUGAGAUUUCAUAAGAAUUUAUAUAUAUAUUGCAAUUUUUUAAAUAGUUAAUUUUUAUCUUUUAAAUUUUCAUGUUGGAAAGUAUAACUAUGAUUUCAUUUUCAAAAACCUUUAAAGAGGUUUUUCUUUUUCUUAUUAAUCCUUUCAUUGCAUUUGAUGUAUUUGUAUAUAAAGGACAACUGAUAAGAAAAGGAUUAAUGAUGAUAUGCACAACAAAAGUGAAAAUUUAUAAACAAGUCACUGUGUUAAAAAUUAUCUAUCUAAAUUUAUUUAUUUUUUUGAAAAUUUCUUUGAUAAUCAAUCCUUAAGUUUGCUGAAUAAUGCAAAAAAGAGUUAGGUUUUUUUGAAAAUUUUUAUUUCAACAAAACUAAUUUCUACAAAAAUAAAAUCUAUCAAUAAAAAAGAAAACCUAGUGCACACAAUAUGUCAAAACAAAACAUGUGAAAUUCUUAAUUUUGUCAAUUAGAUCCUACAUAGAAAUAGAAAAACUAAGAAAAGCAAAGUAAAUUAAUUUGUGGCACACAAAUUGUGUGUGUACCACAGAAAAAAAAAAAUGGGGCAAUCUUGUGUGUGUGUGUACGCACUCCAUAAAUUUGUGGCACUAUGUUCAAAAAAAUAAAAAAAUUUGCGGCACUAGUUUUUUUUUUUUUGGUCCAAUUCCUUUUAAUUUGCAGCACUAGUUUAAGUUGCAAUAAAUGAUUUGGGGCAAUUUUGUCUUUUUGUAAAAAAAAUGGGGUGAAUCGAUCUAGUCAAAGAUAGAUUUUAAUUCUUUUCUCUUUUCUUUUUUCUUCUUCUCACCGGCUGCCGACCACAAGGUGGAUUUAGUCAUAUAAGGAGUGGAAAUAGCACUGCCCUCUUAAAAUUAGACUUUUAAUUUUUUUAUUUUCUUUUUAUAUUUUCUUUUUUUUUCUUCUUUCUCGACCAACUGCCAACCACAGCAACGGUCGAGGAUCAGCCUUGGGCGAGCCUUGAGCUUGCUCACCAAAUCAACGAGCUCAAGCUGGCCACUCGCCGAUUUGGCAAGGCCUAAGGCCACCGAGCUCAAAGUCGCCUUUGGCCAGUCACCAUGGCUGGCUAUUAAUUGAAGAAGAAGGAGGAGGAAAAGAAAAAAGUGGAAAGAAAAAUGAAAAUUUUAAAAAUAAUAAUUAAAAAUUCAAUUUUAAAAUAAAAUAUUUAUUAAAAAGAGUCCAUGGAGUAAAAUUGAAUCGAAUUUUUCAUAUCGAACGGCAAAAAAUGUUAUUUAGUUUAUUUUCAAGUUUCAAUCGAAUACCAAAAAAUAUUAUCAUUAUUUUCUAGAAAAUGGCAUUAUGAAAUAUAAGUUGCCAAAAGGCACUUUACAAUGGAAAAAUUACCGGUUGCUCUGUAUUUAGGGGCAGCAUAGUGAAAGGUACCCAUAAACUGUGUCGUAACAUGUGACUUGCUCUCUGAAGGACCAGACCUCACCAAUCCAAAGUCCAUGAGUUUGGCCGUGUAAGACUGCAGAAGAACUUAACAAUAGAUUAGACUCGGGUUCCAACCUAAAUAUCAAUUGGAAACUUUUUGUGAAUCUAGCAAAAGACAAUAUGGAAAUAUUUAAAAGCAACUAGGGACAGUUUAAUGGUCUUGUGUUAUGAACUAAACAUCAAAUCUAAGAAGGAUAGAUUUGUGAUCAAUUACAACCCUUCCAUCAAUUAAGCAGAGGGAAACAUAGGCUCUUCACUCCUACCAUGACUCUUUUCUCCUGGUUAGAGUACACAAUUGCAAGUGUUCAAAGUGAGAUACUAGGCAUUUCAUUAUCGUCAUUAUACUUCUCCCAAGAAUUUGACUAGAAUGAUAUGGUUCAUGUGAAUUUUAUGAUACAAGACCUUAAUCAUCAUAAGGAGGAUAAAGUAUUCACCCCAUCUAGCAAAAUAUUUGAAGAUUUGAAAUCCCUGAAUAUUAUUUGCCUCUCAAAAUUGUGCAAGAAGGCCAAGCCUCUGGUAGCCCCGACUGCGAUCUUGAGGCAUACAUUCCAUGAGAGAUGAUCUGUAGAGCCCUCUGUAACCAGAAUAAUAAACAGUAUAAAAUGUAAGUAAUUCUUAAAAGCAAAUACAUGUUAAAACUAGCUUAAAUUUUGAAAUAGGCACAUGCAUCAACUAUGACUAUGACCUAAUCGAGAAGAUAUGCUAAACAAUUGGCAUUCUUAAGGAGACCUUUUCUAGAUUUACAAAAUGAUUAGACCACUUACUUUUGAAUAGAUGUUUUCCCAAACUGCCCAUCGGCGUGAACUCAUAAACAAGAGCUAAAUUUUCAUCCUCUUGACAAAAUCCCAGGAGUGUGGCAAGGUUAGGGUGAGAUGCCUUCCAAGAAAGUCUAUUUCCCUCUGCAUGGAAAUAAGCGAAAGAGAGUCUCACACAUGGUCAAUAAUAAAAGAUAUGAAAGAAAUGGAAGCCCCCACACUAAACCAGGCAGAUGUUUUUCUCCUUAAGCUUCAAAUGGUCAAAGAAAUGAAACAAUUACAAUGGAAUAGUUGAUAUCGAAACAAAAGGUACAUAAUGGGAACUGAGACCUAAUUUCCAAUGAAAUGUUCAGUUUAACUAGUAGUUUGACUGAAGACUCAUGGUCAUUGUGCAUCCUGUAAUAUAAAAUACAUAUCAAUAUUGGUAAAAUGUAUUUUAAGUCAUACCAGCUCUGUAGAAAAUAUCUAGCUCGCAUGAACCAGUAGUAGCUAUGUAGAAUCAUUGGAAUUUGUGAUAGAAAACCGUGUAUAAUUUGCGACCAAACUGAUGUAUUUAUCUUGCAGUGGUGUGUCCACCCUAUAUGGUUUGAUCAACCUUGCAAUUUGUUUCAGUUCUUGAAUAUAGAAGCAGAAUUCACUCGAAGGAAGAAGAAAACGAGUUCACUAUGAAAAGAACCGCAUUGCAUUAGUCAACGAAGGUUAGAAAGAUGAAGUUGCCUAGGGGCUAUGAUCACAUCGAAAAGGUUGAUCAUUCCAUGGAUGGAAGACUCUGAACUUAUAUUUGCGCAAUUCCUUCAUUCCUUGCAAUCGAAUCGCACUUACUAGGUUCUUCCAAUAGUUAGCAUCAUACAAGCCAAUGGCCACACACACAAACGGCAUGGGUUUACUAAGUCAAUUACAAAAUAUAAGAAAUGCAAAAAGAAAGUUCAUCACCGCUAACUAAAUGGAGCCCUAAUAUAUAUUUUGCCGAGGACCAUAGUCACCAAAUAAUCUCAAGAACAAAACCAAAAGCGCAUUUUCAAUUGUAAAUAAAUCGUUGAUCUUUCCUUUCUAUCGGAAUGAUUGAAGCAAAAUCGCUUCUUAGAUUCUUCUUUUACUUCAUUUAAAUUCAAAUAAUGCGCAUUAUGUCCACUCAAAAGCGGGGUUAGAUAACUGAAAACUUCACGAGGAUCGUAAACAUAUUUAGGUAAUAUCACCACACAAUUAACACUACUUAGUCAAGCACCAACAAUAGUGUUGCUACCGCCCACUGCCAUCAAUUUGCACCCUAACAAUGAUCGGGAGUGAUUAUAUAUGUUCCGCUUGCGUUUAAUUGAAAGAUAGAAAGAACGAGUCAGCAAUAAAUCCUAGAACAUCACAAGUUUAUGGACUAUUGAGGGAUGCUCGUGCGCUCGGUGGUUCAGGGUGUGGCAAUCUUCUUCCACCAGCAAUUUUUCUCGCUGCAUAGCACAGUGCAGUGUCCUUGUCCGAAUUUGCCAUUGGAAGAAUCUCUUUGCAUGCAUCAACUUGUCCUUAUUCAAAAACCCAAUGCAGUCGAUUUGCAAACUAAACGGAGAGUUGUUUCGAAGCAUCUUACUUCAACAGCAAAGUGUAGGGGAGUGUCUCUUCUGUAGUUGCUUUACUAGAGAAGGAAUGGUCCUGAUGGACAUUGAAUGUAAGGUAUGAUUAUAAAAAGAGGAAGAAGUCGAGCUCCAAAAAAAAUGCCCGUUGCUACCAUAGGAGUGGCAUGUAUAAGAGUCAAAAUAGGAGUAGGGCCUUCCAUGGCAUCAAGCUACCAUACAUGAAGGAGGCAUUGUCCCAAUUCCGCAAUUGCACCUACAAAUUAAAGAAAGGCACAUAAAGUAAAAAAUUAAAAAAGAACCUCAUUAUUAUAAAUCAAGUUAUUGAAUAUUUGAAACAAAUCCCUUUUUAUCACAAAGAUGUUACAAAGAUGGGAUUUGAUCCAAAAUUCUCACUAUUUAUUAGUUUCAUGGACCCCACGCCCCUAUGGUGAAAUCAGUAGACAUGUUGCUCUUAUGAAGCAGAAGAAUAUCUACAAUCAACUUUGCCUCCAUGUAUUGAGCGGCAACACAAAGAAGGUUGCUCUACUUGGGUGUUGUUUCGUGGAAAGGGAAAAGGGAGAAUGUAAAUGUAAAAUAUAGGUUUUUGACCCAGUCAAAAAAGAAAAAGGAGAAAGAAGAAGGAGAGAGACCGAGAGUCUUCGGGAGAGAAGAAGAAAAAGAAGAGAGAGAGAGAAGGAAAAAAAAAAGAAAGAAAGGAAAAAAAAAAAGGACAGGGGGAGGAGGAGGAGAUAAAAGGGAAAGAGAGAAGGAAAAAAGAGGAGAGAGAGAAAGGGAGACCAAAAAGCUCACACUCAAAGAAAGGAAGAGGAAGAGAGGAGGAGGAAGAAGAAGAAGAAGAAGAAGAAGAAGAAAGAGGGUUUCAUGUGUUUUCAUCAUGGGAGCCUCGCCAAGCCACCUUAACUACGUAACACAAUGCUCGGUAAGAGCUCGUGCCGCCCGUUCAUUCAAUCAGAGUAAUUUCAAACCUGUUGGAGAAAUCUUUCCAGAAUAUUUUGAAGCUGACAAAACGUUUCUAUCAAUCUAGUCUGGAUAAUUGCAGACCUUCUGUUUAGAGUCUAAAGACUUUCAGAUCACCAGACUCAGCACUCAAGACUCAAGACUCAAGACUAUUCUCAUUGACAGUUUUUCUAAUCCAGUGACGAAGGCAAUCCAGAGCCGAAGUAUUUGGUUGAGGAUUUAGUCCUAUCCUUUGGAGAAGAUCUCUUGGCUGGAUAAAUAUAACGGAUUCUCUUAUUCGUAAUCAAGAUCGUUUGAAGAUCCGAUGGUCAACGAAAUAUUCUUGGAAGGUUCUAUUCUUGGAAACCAAGAUCCUGAUUGUAUGGGCGAACAGGAUUGAUGGGCUAUCGUUAAGUUCCUUUAAUAGCUCGAAUGAUCUUCUUGAUUGAUUCCGUCCAACGGGUAGAUUGGAGGAAUUCCUUUGGUAAGUGACAACGAGUAUGAUGGCAUAAAGGAGUAUAAAAGGAAGACAUUCUAGUUACUUUAGUGUAUGAUCGAUAGAGAAAUUCCAGAGUCUGAAGCACCUUGAUUAUUAGUCGAUACAUUUUGAGCGAAGUUGUAUACACAAAGAGUGUCUAUACUUAGUGAUACCUUGAGCUAGUGUGGUAGAUUAUCUACACCAAGAAAUCAAAGGAGAACAACGCCGUAACAUCUCUUUGUUCAUAGUGGAAUCCAGCCAAUAGGCUGUCAGUGCAGAAGAGUGGACGUAGGCUUAAAAUAAGCCGAACCACUAUAAACCGCGUGUUCAAUUUUCUCUUCCCUUCUCUCAGUCUUACUUUGAUUAUUGUUUGUCUCAAAUCUAUCAACUGUCUAGUAUUGUGCAAUUAUCGAGAAAAAUCUUUUAUAUACCUAUUCACCCCCCUCUAGGUACUUAUUCUAACUAUAUCAAUUGGUAUCAGAGCUUGUGUACUCACUUUAUUUGAAGUGUUUUACUUCAGAGUAAAAGAUCCAUGGCUAGUAUGCUAGCACCAGGGCUGGUGGAAGGGCAAAGCAAUACCAAACCACCCUGCUUUGAUGGAAAGGAUUACAACAUCUGGAAGAACAAGAUGAAAGCUUUCCUACGAUCAAAGGAUCCUCUGGAAUGGGACGUUGUAGAAAAAGGAAUUACUCCUACAGCUGCAUCAGUUUCUGAAAGAGGGAAAGAAACUGUUGAGACCAGUGGAAUGACUCAGGAAGAGAUAAUGAAGAGACAAGCACUCGAUGCAAAAGCAAUUUACUCUUUAUAUUGUGCUUUGUCACCAACUGAAUAUAACAGAAUAUCUUCUUGUGUUAUAGCAAAAGAAGUUUGGGGACAGAUUACAUAUCACCUAUGAAGGAACAGAUCGAGUGAAGGAAACCAGAAUUAACAUUCUCGUCGGUCAAUAUGAAGCCUUUAAAAUGAAACCAGGAGAAUCUAUAACUAACAGGUUUAGCCGUUUUACAGAUAUUGUCAAUGGGCUUGAGAAUCAAGGACAAAAAAUUUCUGAUCCCAUGAAGGUAAACAAUCUACUGCGUGGACUCUCCAAGGAUUGAAUCACAUAAAGACUUCAAUAAGAGAGACGCAAAGAAUUAUGCCACUAUCUGUCGAUGAGCUGAUUGGACUCUUCAAUCUUAUGAAGUGGAACGAAUUAAUGAAGACGGAGAUCCAAAAGGUAAGAAAUCUAUUGCNNNNNNNNNNNNNNNNNNNNNNNNNNNNNNNNNNNNNNNNNNNNNNNNNNNNNNNNNNNNNNNNNNNNNNNNNNNNNNNNNNNNNNNNNNNNNNNNNNNNCAAAUGAUGAUUCUGAUGUUACAAUUCUGAAGAUGAUAUGGACGAUGAGGAGCUUGCUCUCAUGAUAAGAAGAUUCAGAAAACUGAAUAGAAAAGGAAGAAGGUUCAACUCAAAGAAACAAAGUUUUCAAAGACAGUAGACCAAGUCUGUUGAUGAUGAGGAAUCAAACAAAGAUGUAGUUUGCUUUGGAUGUAAGAAAAGGGAACACAUCAAACCCAACUGUCCUCUUCUGAAGAAGAAGAAAGGAAAAGCUAAAAAGUCUCGAAAGGCUCUCAAAGCCGAAACCUGGAGUGAUACAGAGUGUGAAGAAAGUGAUGAUGAAUAUGCCAACUUAUGUCUGAUGGCGCGAAUAGACUCAGACUCAAACUCUGGAUCAGACUCAGACUCAGACUCAAACUCUGGAUCAGACUCAAACUCAGACUCAAACUCUGGAUCAGACUCAGACAGUGAAUUUGAGGUAAGUAAUUUUAAAAUUCCUGUCAAGGUUUCUAAGUAUAUUAAUGAGCUGUGUUUUAGUCUUAAGACUUCCCUCAAAAGGAUUUCCGAACUUAAAAAGGAAAACUCUGCUCUAAAACAACAGGAAAAUGUUUUAAAAGAAAGAGUUAAAUGUUUAGACAAGAAUGUUUCCACUCUUAAAGAAAAUGAAGAUAGUCUUUUGAAAGAAAAUGCUCUUUUAAAAACUGACUUAUCAAAUAUUUCAAAGAAAUUUUCAAUAGGGUCCGAGAAACUUGAAAAAAUUCUUUCAGCUCAAAGACCUUACUUCAAUAAGUCUGGUCUAGGUAUGACAGCAGAAACUAUUCCCUUGAUUGAUUUUCCUAAAGUAAAAGAAAGAAUCAAGCAAAGACCCUCGAGAGAGGUUUACAAAAAUCAUUUCAAGAAGGUUUUUGUAAAGUCUGUAGGUCGAAAUGCCCUCAGGUGUUCAAAGUGCAACAGUCCGGAUCACUUUGAAAAAGAGUGUACUAUGGUUUGGAAACCUGUUAAGAAAGUAUGGGCUAAUACUGUUUAUCUUACUAACACCAAAGAACCCAAGAAAAUUUGGGUACCAAAGAAAGUUUGAGACUCUCUUUUAAAUGCAGGUCUCCGUCAAGAAAAAUGUAAAGUGGUAUCUUGACAGUGGAUGCUCAAAAUAUAUGACAGGAGACUCAAAUUGCUUCAUAAAGCUUGUUCAAGUAAAUGGUGGAAAAUUUUCAUUUGGAGGAAACAGCAAAGGAAGUAUUGUGGGAUUUGGAACUGUGAAAAUUGAAAAUCUCACAAUAAGUAAUGUUUCCCUAGUGGAAGGACUCAAUUACAAUCUUCUUAGCAUCAGUCAACUGUGUGAUAUUGAUUUUAAGAUCUUCUUUCAAGAAGGAAUAUGUACUGGAACCAGUAAAGACUCUACUCAGUCUUUCAUGGGUCGAACGCAUGGAAACAUCUAUCUCUUGGAUGUGAAACCGGAUGAAUCACAAUGCUUAAUCUCAAUUCAAGACAAAGCAAGCUUAUGGCACAAAAAGCUUGGUCACAUCAACAUGAAGCAAUUAGCCAAAAUCUCUACAAAACAGCUUGUUCAAGGUCUACCCAAAUUACCAUACCAAAAGUCUGAUCCAUGCACUCCAUGUAUUCUGGAAAAGCAGGUAAGAAAUUCAUUUAAGCCAAUAAAUCAUGUCUCUACUAAUCAUGUACUACAGUUGCUGCAUAUGGAUCUCUUUGGUCCAACCAGAACCCAGAGCAUUAGAGGUAAGAAAUAUUGCCUAGUAAUUGUGGACGAUUACUCCCGAUUUACUUGGGUAUAUUUCCUUGCAAGUAAGUCUGAAACCUUCUCGUAUUUGGAGAAAUUUGCUAAAAAUGUUCAAAAUGAAAAAAGAUGUGUUAUCUCUAGUAUAAGAACAUAUCAUGGAAGUGAAUUUGAAAAUCAAGAUUUUACAAAAUUUUGUGAUAAAUCUGGCUUUAAGCAUGUGUUCUCAUCUCCAUAUACUCCUCAGCAAAAUGGAGUUGUGGAAAGAAAGAAUAGAUCUCUUCAAGAAAUGGCUAGAACUCUUUUAAUUGAAAGUAAGAUUUCUUCACGAUUUUGGGCUGAAGCUAUUUCAACAGCGUGCUAUAUCAUCAAUAGAGUCUUCUUAAGACCUAUUCUAGAGAAAACCCCUUAUGAGUUAUUCAAAGGUAAGAAGCCUAUUGUUUCAUACUUUCAUGUGUUCGGUUGCAAAUGCUUUAUAUUGAAAAAUGCUAAAGAUCGAGUUGGUAAGUUUGAAGAAAGAUCAGAUGAAAGCAUCUUCCUUGGAUAUUCUACAUCAAGCAAAGCCUACAGAGUCUAUAACAAGAAGAGCCAGUCUGUGGAGGAGUCAAUGAAUGUCAAAUUCCAAGACUCUACGCAAGAUGAAUCAAGUCAGACUCAUCAUGAAGAGUCUGAACCUGCUCUAGACCCUCCAAAGCUUACAACUCAAGAAGCAUCUCAGACUCUGGAAGACCAGCAUCAAGCUGUUCGUGAAGAUUCAAAUAAAGAAAGAGAUCAUCAACCAGACAAAUCAAUCAGUAACUGGAAGCAUAAGUCCAGUCAUCCCAAAGAUCUCAUUAUCGGCGAAUUUAAUGAAGGAAUUCGCACCAGAUCCAAAAGACGUGAAGAGUCUAGUGCUGUGGCUCUCAUUUCUGAAAUUGAACCAAAGAGCAUAGAAGAAGCUUUAUCUGAUGAAAGCUGGAUUGAAGCUAUGCAAGAAGAGCUCAGACAGUUCAACAUUAAUGAUGUCUAGGAAUUGACAUCUAAACCAAAAGGUAAAACUGUUAUUGGAGCUAAAUGGGUGUUCAGGAACAAGAUGAAUGAGAAAGGAAAAGUCGUACGAAACAAAGUAAGACUCGUGGCCAAGGGAUAUACGCAAGAAGAAGGAAUAGACUAUGAUGAGACUUACGCUCCAGUAGCAAGGUUAGAAGCUAUUCGAUUAUUACUUGUGUUUGCUUGUUAUAAAAAUUUCAGGUUAUUCCAAAUGGAUGUCAAAAGUGCCUUCCUAAAUGGAUUUAUCCAUGAGGAAGUUUAUGUGGAACAACCACCAGGGUUUGAAGACCCAAAGAAGCCAGACUCAGUCUUCAAACUGAAAAAAGGCCUUAUAUGGUUUAAAGCAAGCACCUCGAGCUUGGUACGACAGACUAAGUAAGUUCUUAAUACAUAAUGGUUUUGUCAAAGGUAAAGUAGAUACUACUUUAUUUAUCAAAAAGGAAAACAAAAGCUUUUUAAUUGUUCAAAUAUAUAUGGAUGAUAUUAUUUUUGGAUCCUCUAAUGAAACUCUAUGCAAGAAAUUUUCUAAGUCUAUGCAGGAUGAGUUUGAAAUGAGUAUGAUGGGAGAGUUAACAUUCUUUCUUGGACUCCAAAUAAAACAAUUGAAGGAAUGAACUUUUAUUCAUCAAGAAAAAUAUACUAAUAAUCUUGUCAAAAAGUUCGGACUGGAAAAGUGCAAAAAGACCGACAUAGCAAUGUCAAGUUCUCUGAAGAUAGACAAAGAUGAAGAAGGGAAGAAAAUUGAUCAAAAGCUGUACAGGAGCAUCAUCGAUUCACUUCUUUAUCUUACUGCUUCUAGACCUGACAUUUUGUUGAGUGUUGCAUCUAUGCUAGGUUUCAAUCAGAUCCUAGAGAAUCCCAUCUCAUGCUGCGAAACGUAUUAUUAAAUACGUUGCUUCAUCUUCAAGCAUAGGUUUUUGGUAUCCUAAGAAGGGAGACUUUAAUCUUCUGGGAUAUUCAGAUGCAGAUCUGCAGGUUGCAGAGUUGACAGAAAGAGCACUUCGGGAACUUGCCAGUUGCUUGGAAGCAGGACAAUGUCUUGGUUUUCAAGGAAACAAAGCACUAUGGCUCUCUCAACAACAGAAGCAGAGUAUGUAGCUCUUGGAAGUUGCUGUUCGCAAAUUCUAUGGAUAAAACAACAGCUACAAGACUUUGGAAUUGAAGACUCAUGCACAGAGAUUAGAUGUGACAACACCAGCGCAAUCAAUCUUACUAAAAAUCCAAUCCUUCACUCAAGAGCAAAGCAUAUAGAGAUUCGACAUCAUUUCAUUAGAAAUCAUGUUCAAAAUGGAGAAAUCUCGAUUCAAUUUGUUGAUUCAAAGAGCCAACUAGCGGAUAUAUUCACAAAGCCUUUGGAGAAAAAUCAAUUCGAUUUUAUCCGUUCCAGACUCAACAUUUUGAAGCUUGAGGAAGUUAAAGUUUAGAGACUCUCAAACCCUCAGACUCAGACAUUCAUGGCUAUAGACUGUAAGUUGUUAUUAUAUUCAAUCUCGAAAAGGUACGAUCAUUAGUUCAGUUAAUUUAUAAUUUCCGUGAAAAACGGAAUCUUGUCUUUUCAAAAAGAUUAACUUAUAUUUGGCAGUUAUCGAUUUCAAAAGAGGCGUCUGUUCAUUUUCCUUUGUGCUGAUUGGUUGUUUCCUUUUUUAAACUGAGUUAUAUAUAUACAGUUUUCCUCGCUUAAACUUCAAAACCCUAAAAAGGCAUUCUCCUACCAAUCCUAUCUCUACUUUGUGUUCAUCUUCGAGAAAUUUGUCAUCUUUUCUUGGGAAAGCGAGUAAAGGAAUCUUUCAACGACAAGGAAGGAUGUCUUCUUCGAGAAAGUCUUCAAGAAUCGCGAACAGGGGACCACAGAGAAUGAGGGAGGGGCCUACCCAUUUCGAUCUCACCAAAGAGGAAGAUUUAUCGAGUCAGCAACAGAGCCCGAUUCACUCUCCACCACGUCACUCUUCAUCAUCUACCCCAAAAGGUGCGGGUCAACAACCGGAGGAAGAAAUAAUCGAGGACGCAGACCCUGUAAGAGUCCAAAAACCCUCUUUUAUUUACAAGCUCUAUCUUGCGUUGAAAAGCACUGGGACUCCACUGAACUAUAUAGAUGAUUUCCUUAAAGAUAAGAAUUAUGGGAAUGAGUAUAUCUUUUUGCGACGAAUGGAGGAUUUGGGAAUUGCUCCCAAAGGAAAGGCUGAGGAAGCACUUGCGAACAUUCCAAGUGACCCUCGUGUAUCGGGACUGAAUCCAACUGACGGGAACGAUGAUGAUAAAAUGUUCCUUGAAUUUCAACCUAGAAUGGGUGUUGCUACGAAGGUGAAGGGAAAAAGGAUGGAUUUGUUUAAAUCGAAGGAACAGGAGAAUCUGUUCUUCAGACUGUUGAAACGAGGGGUGAUAAACCCUAGAAGUGUUGAUUUCGAUUUCUUGGAUGCCAUUAAUGUGAAUUUAAGGGAGAAGUUCAAUCUGCUUCAACUUGAGCAAUUUUACUCCGAUACCACAGACGGUUAUGCGCAAUUGAUAGCAUACUUCUAUUCAAAUCUUAGCUUUUUAGAUGCGAAUAGAAUAUCCUUCAGUGUUCGAGACCACAACUAUGUGGUAGAUGUGGACAUGUUGGCAGAUAUAAUUGGAGUUGAAAGAGGACGAUAUCAACCGAUCAAAGUUUCGAUUGCUCGUACCACACUGGAGCUUGUCAAAGACAGGAUACAGAGGGAAGAAUUACCUACACAAGAAUGCGUGCCAUCAAUAUUUUGCUUCACAAAAUUGUGAUCAACUAUAUCAGGCCAAAGUCUACAUCCCAGACUGACGUGUCUAACUCCGAGGCGAAAUUGAUGUACGCGAUCAAUUCAGGGAAGAAGUUCUCUCUUCCUCACACCAUUCUCUUUCACAUGUACAGAGCAAUGGUGAAGGACAAGGGCCAAUUGCCUUACCCAGGUCUUAUGACCAAGAUCUUCAGACACUUGAACAUUGAACCUCCACAUACUCUUUGUGUUCGACCAUGCGACAAAAUGGUGGUGGGUUUGAAAAUGCUGACAAAAAUGCGUCUGAAAGAGCUUAAUAAGGCAAUGGAGAAGUUCAAAGUGAAGACUCCAGCAUCUUCUGCAUCUAAGAGAAAAGGAAAAGAGCCCAUGGGUGCUCCACCCAAAAAGAAAAUAACUCUUAUCUUGGAGGAUGAAGAUGAAGAGGAAGAUCUCACUAUCUCUGCAUUGAAAAGGACCAGACGUUCUGUACCUGAAUCAAUAGAACGACGGAUGAAAGGAAAAGAAGCAGAGGAAAAAGAACAGAGAGAAGAAAAGGGACAAGCAAAGAACAGAGAAACAGAGGAGCAACAAGAGAAAGAGAAAGAAGACAAAGAGAAAGAAGCUGAAGAAGAAAGAGAAGCAAUGAAAGAAAAGUCUGCAGAUGAAGCCGAAGAAAAAGGGAAUCAAGACGCUGAAGAGCAUGAUAAUCACUCUUCCCCAAUUGAGGUCCUAGAGACAGAGGGAGAUGGCGAGCAAGGAAGGACUACACCAUAUCCUGUCAACAGUGAAGGUGUGAGUCGCUCACCAGCAAAUCCAGAAGAUUUUCAGGCUUCUCAAAUGCCUGCGGAAGGACAUGAUACGUCAACACCAAAUCUGCUCGAUUACACCGAAGUUCCAUCAUCUACCUUCACUCCAUCCAAGAGAGCAAAUGCGAGCACACAGACGAACAAUACAGCAGAUUUUCGUCGUAUCCUUGAUGUUCUUCUAGAAAUGCAGGGUCAAAUCUAUGCUCUGGACUGUGAACUUCAAGUCCUGAAGAAUGCUGGACAAGCAUCUUCUGUUACCCUGGCGGAGCAAAUGAAAGACCUCGCUCUUCAAAUUCAAGCCAAUGCCAAAGGAGAAGAGGUGGCUCAUCUAAGGGAAGACUUGAAGAGGCUGGAAGGCAUCGUACAGUCAAUGGGAGAUUUCCAGAUUGUGCACAUUCCCAAGCAGAUUUGACUCUUUUCUCACCUUUUUAAUGAUGACAAAAAGGGGGAGAAUUGCAAUUUGAACUCUUUAAAACUUUGACUUUAAAUUUCUUUGUGUGUUUGAAUGUUUGUUUUUUAGUAUGACUUGGGUGUGAACUUGAAUUUGACUGACUUGGGUGUGGAUUUUGAUACUUGACUGUUUGCAUUUAUAUCAAGUGUUGUUGUAUGGUUUUAUUCAUGAAAGACUAACCGAUUUUCUGUGGAUGCAGAGUCUGGUUGAUUUUAUUAAUCUUUAUGAGAUAGCCAUAUUGCUUGAGUAAUGUUUUGUAGGUCAAAGUUAUUCAAAUCUACAGGAAAGUUUUGUCACCAUCAAAAAGGGGGAGAUUGUUGGAGAAAUCUUUCCAGAAUAUUUUGAAGCUGACAAAACAUUUCUAUCAGUCUAGUCUGGAUAAUUGCAGACCUUCUGUUUAGAGUCUAAAGACUUUCAGAUCACCAGACUCAGCACUCAAGACUCAAGACUCAAGACUCAAGACUAUUCUCAUUGACAGUUUUUCUAAUCCAGUGACGAAGGCAAUCCAGAGCCGAAGUAUUUGGUUGAGGAUUUAGUCCUAUCCUUUGGAGAAGAUCUCUUGGCUGGAUAAAUAUAACGGAUUCUUUUAUUCGUAAUCAAGAUCGUUUGAAGAUCCGAUGGUCGACGAAAUAUUCUUGGAAGGUUCUAUUCUUGGAAACCAAGAUCCUGAUUGUAUGGGCGAACAGGAUUGAUGGGCUAUCGUCAAGUUCCUUUAAUAGCUCGAAUGAUCUUCUUGAUUGAUUCCGUCCAACGGGUAGAUUGGAGGAAUUCAUUUGGUAAGUGACAACGGGUAUGAUGGCAUAAAGGAGUAUAAAAGGAAGACAUUCUAAUUACUUUAGUGUAUGAUUGAUAGAGAAAUUCCAGAGUCUGAAGCACCUUGAUUAUUAGUCGAUACAUUUUGAGCGAAGUUGUAUACACAAAGAGUAUCUAUACUUAGUGAUACCUUGAGCUAGUGUGGUAGAUUAUCUACACCAAGAAAUCAAGGGAGAACAACGCUGUAACAUCUCUUUGUUCAUAGUGGAAUCCAGCCAAUAGGCUGUCAGUGCAGAAGAGUGGACGUAGGCUUGAAAUAAGCCGAACCACUAUAAACCGCAUGUUCAAUUUUCUCUUCCCUUCUCUCAAUCUUACUUUGAUUAUUGUUUGUCUCAAAUCUAUCAACUGUCUAGUAUUGUGCAAUUAUCGAGAAAAAUCUUUUAUAUACCUAUUUACCCCCCUCUAGGUACUUAUUCUAGCUAUAUCAAAACCUAGGGCUUGAAAUUCGGAAUUUUGGGAAAAUCAAGCAAUGAAGUAUGAUUUUUGAGUCGUUGAACCACGUAUAAAAAAGUUUAUGGUGUUUUGAAGCUAUAGGAUUUUACGAAUCUGAUUUGAGCUUACGGUUUGUCCGAAACAAAAUUUUAAAAUUUAUUGCGAGUGAUGAAUAGUGCGCAACCAAGACUUCGGGGCCAUAUUUUGUUAAUUUUCAGCUUGAUUUCGGGUUGGCUAAAUUAGGAUUCUUAUAGUAUGUUGGAUGGACUUUCCAUUGACUAUAAGUACAUUUAAACAAAGUUCGGUGGAAAAAAUUAUGGCAUGAUAAAGUUCCGUGCUCAAGCUUUGUGCUAUAGACGGCUUCAAGUAAUUCCUUUGGUUGAGCAAUUUAUUGGUGCGUGGGAGUCGUUUUCUAAGCGCUCAUGCUUAGUUUAGUCAAAUCAUAGUCGUUUUCUAAGCGCUCUCAUUGUUUCUCGUUUAUUUGAUAGGAUCGCGAGUUCGACAAUUUGAGUAACGCUUGUUAUUUGAUCAUAAGCAUUUCGAGAUGAGUGGUGCUAUAUCUUCUAAGAAUUUAUAAGCUCAUAUUUUUUAAAUGAUAAAGGAUCGAUAUUUUAUGAGUUAUGAAUAAGUAUAUUUGUUAUAUAAAAUUUAGAUCAGGCAUUUAUUACGCUUUGGUAUUUGAGAAUAGUGUGAGAACUUUUUGGUGGAAAUAUAUAUUAUGUUUGAUGAAUGAAGUUGAAAAAUAUUACAUGUUUUGGGUUUGUGAAACCUUUUUACGAAAAGUUCGACUUUGAGAUGGUUUAUGGAAUGUUAUAUAGAUAUCGAUUUGUGAUAAGCUUUUUGAAAUGUAUUUGAUUUGAUUUGAGUUGUAAAAUUGAUUUAUGAGACGAGUCUUGAAAUUAUUUUAGAAUGUUUUAUGAAAAGUAUUUUUGGCAAAUAAGUUGAAUCGUGAAAUAUUUUGGUGAAUAUGAAAUGAUUUAUGGAUUUGGCUUUGUGUAUUGUGGAUAGUGUUGUUUUGGAUUGGUAUUAAAGCUCAAUAUCAUUGUGAGCCCAGUGAAGGGCUUGUAGGUAUGCACAUACUAGUCUAGAAUAUCUUUGUAGGCCGAGUCACAAACUAAUAAUAGGUGAAGACUUUGCCAAGGGGGGAAUCUUGGUCGCCUCGUCACCAAGCGUUGUAUCGUGACCAUCGUUUGAUAUUGAGCAACGAAUUAGUCAAUAGAAUGGACCAUUGACACAUGAUAUGAGUUUAAUCGAUGAAAUUGACCAUUGAUGUGUAAUUUGAGAUUUGUUGUUGGAAUGGACCAUCAACGUGUAAUUUCAUUAGACCGUUGAUAUGUGGCAUGAGAUUAACCAAUUGAAUGGACCAUUGGCGUGUGAAUUAAUGAGAUUAAUCAAUGGAUUAGACCAUUGAUGGUUAUUUUGAUAUUAUUGUGAAAUGAUUAUUUCUGAUAUUUAAGCGUAUGUACUUAUUCUUUUAGUUUAUGUUUGUUAUAUCAUAGAUUUGAGUUAAGAGAGUUGUAGUUUGAUUUAUAAAUAUGCAUAGUGGGUACUUGAUCCGCUUAGAAAAAAUGCACUAUUUAAUAAGCUACGGUUGCUCACCCCUCUAUUUGCCAAUCUUUUUCAGAUCCCUCAGCUAACAAUGAGUAGUACGAAAGCAAUAUCGACGAGGGGACUUUUAGGAGUUGGAUUUUGGGAGCUUUGGGGCAGCGUUUUUCGAAUGGAAGGACGGCCUUGUCAUCCCCCAUUCAUGAUGGUUUUAGGGUGUGACAGUAAACCCAAUGCAUGUGUGCGAAAGAGCAUGCCUGGACAAGUUCAACCUUAGGAGACUUUGGAGGUAAAUUACAAUAUUUGAAUAAAUGAUACUAACUUGUCAUCUAUAAUUAAUUAAUUAAUUAAUUAUUGAGUGUUACUAUUUUCAAAUUAUGAUUGCGGACUAUAUAAUCAAGCUAUCGUUCAUAAAGAUAAGUUAUUGGUUAUAAAUGAAAACGAAGUUCCCACGAUUAAAUAUAAAUUAUGAUUCAAAUUACGAGACCACUUCUCAACCCUAAAUGCACUCUUUUCAUGUCUAGUCCUACAUGAGAUAAAAAUACGAUAGAUAACAUUUUGAGACAAUUUCAAUUCAACUUUAUCUAAUACUAGCAUGUAAUCUUGCACGAUUCGAGGAUACUUUAAUUCUCCAAAAAAAGAAGUGCAACUUUUUAUAGAACUAAAAACUUGUUCAUACUUCAUACGUAAGCAAGGGUCGCUUAGCAUAGGCACCUGAUGAUAUACAUUACGAUAAUCAAAAUUAAUUAGCUAACAUUAGUCAUGUGUCGAGAUUUCGGUUUCCAAAUCCCUAUAGAUCUUUAUAUACCGUGAUUUCUGUUUUUGACACUGUAUUGUUGUUUCCACGUUCAACAACCUAUAUCUAGAUUGAGCCUAUAUUAUUCUGCUCAAGUCCUGCCUCCAAUUCGUUAUCUAUGUUCCAGGAAACCAGGAAAAGAUAACGAAACAAUUGGACAUGUCUUAGCUGCAACAAAAUAGCACCAAAUUACAUGUCUUAUUCAAUUGGAAUGGACAACAGGGCAGCUCUUUACUUUAAAUGACUCAAUCAGUAACCCAACCCUGUCCCACAGCUCAAAAAUUAACGAUGAGAAUGUAACGAACAGCGUAAUUCUUCUUGGAGAUUGGUGUCGGUAGGGGUGUGCAUUCUUCUUGAGGGAACCGGUCCGGUUCCUGGGUCCAAUUGUUGAGAACCGGUGGGAACCGGUCCGGUUCCCGGUUCCAUGGGCGGAUCCGCCCGCCCACCCACCCGAACCGGACCGGUACUAUUUAUAAUUAAAAACAAAAAAACAAAAAAAAAAACAAAAGUCGCGAACGAAGCCCCCUGCCCCUAAUUCGCGAAGCCCUAAUCACGUUUCUUCUUCUUCAACCUCCGACUCUCUCUGUUCCUUUCCUUCUCUUCGUCUUCGAUUCCACGGUUCCACGGUCCACCCCGAGUAUCCACGCCGCCGCCGCUGCUCCUCCUCCGCCACUGUCCGCCCCCAUCGCGCCGGUCACCACUCGCCAGCGGCCAACCGCUGCUCCUCCGCCUCUGCAAGAACUCUUGACCGAGCCGGCAAGCCCCUUUUCCGUCACUCAACAAGGUAAGAAGCCCUAAUUUGCUUCUCAUCUCUUGAUUCUCUUCCGAUUUCUUCCUCAGUUUUUGAUUAUCUCUCUGUUUCUUCCUCAAUCUCUUCUCCUCGUCUUCGAUUCCUCACCAAGCAUUCACGCCGCCACCGCUGCUCCUCCUCCGCCACUGUCCGCCCCCUCGCGCCGGUCGCCACUCGCCACAGCCGCUGCUCCUCCGCCUCUGCUGUCCGCCCCCCUCGCCAUAAACCCUACAGAGCUCUUGCUUUCCUCACCACCAAACCAAAGGUACAAACGAGUCCGUGCGUGGCAUCUCGUUAUUCUGCUCAAUUUGUCAAUUCCCGUCGUUCUAAAAGUGAGUUCGGUUGUGUUUAGAACUUUAGAUCCACGUAGCAAAUUUGAGGGUCGUGCGAUUUUGGGGUCUCCUGAAUUGAGUUACAAGUUGGUUAUUUUCUAGCGGAAUCUUCUUUUCCAAGUGUUGUUUCAAUUUGGUCUUUCGGUUACUCGGUGGCCAUGGUAAUAGCAUGUGCUGUUGGUGGCAUUCCUUUCCUGACCGUUCCCUUUUCUUUUCUUUUUUUAUUCGCCGGGUUGAUCAAUGUGCAUUGGAAUUUCUCUGUAUAUCGUAUAAUGGAUGUUUGGUCGACUAUUAUGUUCAGUUUGGCAUGGUGGAAUGGAAUGGAAUCGGGAAAUGAUGGGGAAAGGAAUGGGCUAGAGUGAUGAUUCCAAGUCUUGGUUUUUUUCUUGGUGAAUCGUGGGAAACGGAACGGAAUAAAAUCUUUGUGUUUGAGCGUGAUUCUAGAUAAUUUUGUGAGUUUUGAGCUUGUGGUGAUUUGGUAAUGUGGAGAGAUGGUCGCUGUUCACGAGCUUUUGAGAUUUUCUGGUCGAUUGUCACUUGUCAGUGCUUAGUUCAAUUUGCUACAAUUUGAUUUUGUGAUAAUUCUGGGAGUUGUGAGGUUGUAUUGGUUUGUUGAUGGGGUCUAUUUUCAGUUUUGUGAUAAUCCUACAGCACUUCUUUUGUUCGUUUGCCAGCUUUUGGCAGUUUCCGAAAAAAAACAGAGAGUACAUUUUCGGUUUUGUCCACAAAAAAAAAACAGAGAGUACGUUUUCGGUUUUGCAUUUGAGAAAUUGUGAUUGUGCAUUUUCUUAUAUUCUAAGAUUGAUGAUCUAGACCUAAAGAAGUGAUGUAGACUAACCAUAGUGCAUUGCUUGAUUCAGGUGAUUCAUUAACAUGUCAAUGGAAGUAGAGGAAUCUUAUGAUGCAAUAAUACCAAUAGUGGAAUCAACAUCACAAGAACAUGAAGGAGGUGAAAACUUUGAAGAAACAUCAAAAACAAAUCAGGUAUCUGGUUCUUGUCCAUGUCCUCCUAGUAAGCGAAAAUCAGCAGCUUGGCUUCAUUUUCGAAAAGGAAUAACUCACACAAAUGGGAAAGUUGAUGUAUUUUGCAAUUACUGCGGAUCCAAGUAUUCAUACCACGUUGAUAAUGGGACUUCAAAUAUGUUGAAGCACUUGAGAAAGUGCAAUAANNNNNNNNNNNNNNNNNNNNNNNNNNNNNNNNNNNNNNNNNNNNNNNNNNNNNNNNNNNNNNNNNNNNNNNNNNNNNNNNNNNNNNNNNNNNNNNNNNNNNNNNNNNNNNNNNNNNNNNNNNNNNNNNNNNNNNNNNNNNNNNNNNNNNNNNNNNNNNNNNNNNNNNNNNNNNNNNNNNNNNNNNNNNNNNNNNNNNNNNNNNNNNNNNNNNNNNNNNNNNNNNNNNNNNNNNNNNNNNNNNNNNNNNNNNNNNNNNNNNNNNNNNNNNNNNNNNNNNNNNNNNNNNNNNNNNNNNNNNNNNNNNNNNNNNNNNNNNNNNNNNNNNNNNNNNNNNNNNNNNNNNNNNNNNNNNNNNNNNNNNNNNNNNNNNNNNNNNNNNNNNNNNNNNNNNNNNNNNNNNNNNNNNNNNNNNNNNNNNNNNNNNNNNNNNNNNNNNNNNNNNNNNNNNNNNNNNNNNNNNNNNNNNNNNNNNNNNNNNNNNNNNNNNNNNNNNNNNNNNNNNNNNNNNNNNNNNNNNNNNNNNNNNNNNNNNNNNNNNNNNNNNNNNNNNNNNNNNNNNNNNNNNNNNNNNNNNNNNNNNNNNNNNNNNNNNNNNNNNNNNNNNNNNNNNNNNNNNNNNNNNNNNNNNNNNNNNNNNNNNNNNNNNNNNNNNNNNNNNNNNNNNNNNNNNNNNNNNNNNNNNNNNNNNNNNNNNNNNNNNNNNNNNNNNNNNNNNNNNNNNNNNNNNNNNNNNNNNNNNNNNNNNNNNNNNNNNNNNNNNNNNNNNNNNNNNNNNNNNNNNNNNNNNNNNNNNNNNNNNNNNNNNNNNNNNNNNNNNNNNNNNNNNNNNNNNNNNNNNNNNNNNNNNNNNNNNNNNNNNNNNNNNNNNNNNNNNNNNNNNNNNNNNNNNNNNNNNNNNNNNNNNNNNNNNNNNNNNNNNNNNNNNNNNNNNNNNNNNNNNNNNNNNNNNNNNNNNNNNNNNNNNNNNNNNNNNNNNNNNNNNNNNNNNNNNNNNNNNNNNNNNNNNNNNNNNNNNNNNNNNNNNNNNNNNNNNNNNNNNNNNNNNNNNNNNNNNNNNNNNNNNNNNNNNNNNNNNNNNNNNNNNNNNNNNNNNNNNNNNNNNNNNNNNNNNNNNNNNNNNNNNNNNNNNNNNNNNNNNNNNNNNNNNNNNNNNNNNNNNNNNNNNNNNNNNNNNNNNNNNNNNNNNNNNNNNNNNNNNNNNNNNNNNNNNNNNNNNNNNNNNNNNNNNNNNNNNNNNNNNNNNNNNNNNNNNNNNNNNNNNNNNNNNNNNNNNNNNNNNNNNNNNNNNNNNNNNNNNNNNNNNNNNNNNNNNNNNNNNNNNNNNNNNNNNNNNNNNNNNNNNNNNNNNNNNNNNNNNNNNNNNNNNNNNNNNUCUAGGAUCACCCUUACGACUGACACAUGGAGUUCCAUUCAGAAUUUGAACUAUCUAUGCCUUACUGCACAUUUAAUUGAUGAAGAUUGGAAAUUGCACAAAAGGAUCAUCAAUUUUGUGGUAAUAGCUAGUCACAAGGGCAGGGAUAUUGGGAGAGUUAUUGAUAAAUGCAUAUAUGAGUGGGGAAUAGAGAAGAAAGUGUCCACAAUUACAGUGGAUAAUGCUAGUUCAAAUGAUGUGGCCAUUAAUUAUUUGAAAGAAAAAUUUUCAAGAGAGAGGCUAUUGAUCUUAGAUGGUGAAUCUUUACACAUGAGAUGCACGGCUCAUAUAUUAAACUCGAUUGUGAAGGAUGGCUUGGCUGAGAUACGUGAUUCCAUUACACGUAUUCGAAACGUGGUUAGGUAUGUGAGAAGUUCUCCUAUGAGAGCUAAGACAUUUCGAGAUUGCAUUGAAAUUACAAGAAUUGCUUAUAAGGGUUCAGUUUGUCUUGAUGUCCCAACUAGGUGGAAUUCCACUUACCUAAUGUUAGAGAGUGCCAUAAAGCUAAAAAAAGCUUUUGAAAGGAUGGAGGAAGAAGAUGUUUCUUUCUUAACUAAGCUUAAUUCUGAUACUCCAAAUAGCGUUGAUUGGGAAAAUGCUAUUGUUCUUUCUAAUUUUUUGAAGAAGUUUUAUGAUACAACCAAGAAGAUGUCCGGAACUUUGUAUAUCACUUCAAAUGAUUAUUUUGUGGGGAUAGCUUCUUUGUACAAAUAUUUGCGGGAAGCAAUGAAGGCUUUUGAUCAUAGGGUGAGAGUUAUGGGGUUAAAAAUGAAAGAGAAAUUUGACAAAUAUUAUGGAAGUUUUGAAAAAGUCAAUAUGAUGGUAUUGAUUGCGGUAACAUUGGAUCCUAGAAAAAAGCUGAAUUAUGUGAGGUAUUGUUGUAAACUCAUUUAUGAUGAUGCUGCAGAAGUUGAUGAGAUGUUUGAUAAGGUGAAGUUUGCCUUGGAACGUGUGUUUAAAUUUUAUGAGAAAUCUUGUCACACUUCUAGAGACAAAAAUUUGGAUGGUGAAUUGGUAAGUUCUUCUAAUAUCGGUAGUAGCUGCGAUUCUUAUCUCAAUGAGGGAAAUGAAGAGGAUGAUUGCAGCUUAAAUUUCUUUGUGCAAGAGCCUUCGUAUGAUGACUUUCUUAAUGAGGAGAAGAAAAAGUCCGAUAGCAACUUAUCUGAGCUCGAUCGAUAUCUUAAAGCUGAACUUGAAGAUGGUCGCGAUCUUGACAUUUUGAAAUGGUGGAGUGUUGCUGGCCAAAAGUUUAAAAUCUUAUCUUUGAUGGCUCGGGAUAUUUUGUCUAUUCCCGUUACUACCGUUGCUUCAGAAUCAACUUUCAGUACUUCUGGUCGUGUGCUUGAUGGUUUUCGGAGUUCUUUGACUCCUAGAGUUGUGGAAGCUUUGAUUUGUACUCAAGAUUGGUUGAGAGCAAUUCGUGAUCCGAUUAAUGUUGAAGAAUGUAUUGAAAAUGCGGAAAAGUUUGAAUUUGGUAAGUCCAUAUCAUUUCAUAAUGUAAUUUUUUUGUAUAUCUAUUAUCUAAGAAUUGAAUUCUUUAUUUAAUAUCUUCUUUUUGUUAGAUAUGGAUGACGUUGGCAAGGAGAUUAACAAGGAGAUUGACGGUCCAUAGAGUUUACAAGUUGAAGUGGGAGGAAUCUAUGAGUCAUCUUGAAGGUUUUUUCCCCCACCUCACUAUUUUAUCUAUUUCUUUGCAAGAUGGGAGAUUUCUCUUUCUUCCCCAUAUAUAAAAACGUACAUUUGCUUUUGUUCAUGGGUUGUGUGCCGUAUUGGGAGAUCAUGAGCAUGUGCGGAGGUGGUGGAUGUGGUGUGGGGUGUGAGGAACAAGGUAAUGGCGUGUCGGCUAGCUCAAAAGGUGUCGUCGCAUCACGAAAGAUAAUUGAAGUAGCCUCAAUUGGAACUUGGUUUUGCUGUCCCUUGUUCUAUCUCUUUCUCUUUGCUUUUUUUCUUUCCCUUUUGCUCAUUUUAUUAUUGUUUUCAUUAUUUUCUUUCGAAAGAAUUCAUGGUGGAUAAUGAGCUUGAGAGGGAGGACUAAUGCAAAAGAAAUUCGUCUAUUAUUCAUCUAUUAAUUAUUGUUUUAGUUUUUGGAGAUUGGAACUUGGAAUUUUAGAGCUCAAAACUUCCGGACCGGCGGUCCGGGAAACCAAAAUUGUUUCGCUCUUGAAAACCAGAAUUUUUGGCGUCAAAAUCGGUUCCAUGGAUCCACCCGGGAACCGGACCGGACCGGCAGUCCGGUUCCCGGGUGGAUCCUGGUUCCGAUUUUUUGGAACCGGUCCUUAGCGGGCGGUUCCCGGUUCUAGGUCGGGAACCGCCCGCCCGGACCAUGCACACCCCUAGGUGUCGGGCCGAGUGCCACAUGAACAAAUUCUUGACAGCAAUAGGAAUGAGCUUUUGCUGACGUUCAAAGCCUGAGCAUGAAGAGAAACAAAAGAUCCCGGACUCCUGAAGAGCUACGGACUUCUUUUGGUAAGCCUCAGAUUGCUAACAAAAUUGAGGAUUAGCCAUCGAAAUCUAAAAACCGUUCCCCUCUUAAAGAAAAUGUAAUCACAACAUCUCAAUUUAGAAGUUGAUGCACCCAAUGAUAGAUGCGUACGAAUAUUCCAAAGAGCUUACAAUAAAACACAACACCUAGUUACUACCGGGUACAAUGGAAAAGAACAUUCAACAUUCAAAGCCCGAGAUUAAUCCCAAGAAGCAACAGACUUUGAUCCCAUCACAUGAAGUCCAAACAACAUAACAAAUAAAUUCAAGCAUUCGGUAGUAUUCUAUUGACACUGGCAGCUUCUAUUGAUUGUAGUACUUCCACGACUUCAGACAUGGACGGGCGCAGCUUACGAGUUAGAUUGAGGCAUAUUAAAGCUAGUUGUGCUAUUUGGAAUGCAAAUUCUUCACAAUGUUCACCCUUCAAUCUCGAGUCCAUUAUAGUACUCAGUUUUCCCUCACUGUGUAAGUGUGGUAGGGCCCACUUCACUAAAGUAGCCAGGCCCAUUGGAGACCGUGGGUUACGCGCCCUCAAACCUGUUAGUAUCUCAAGCAGCACAACGCCGAAACUAUAAACAUCACUCUUUACAGUGAGAUGUCCUGUAAAAUCCAAGAGUCAUAUGUGAUGUUGCAGCGAAACGUGGGAAAAUAAAUAACUUCCCCAUAUUACUCUCAAAAUUCAAGAUCGCGCAAUAGUCAGCACUAAGUCACCAAAAAGCACUUUACAAUGGAAAAAUUACCGGUUGUUUUGUAUUCAGGGGCAGCAUAGCCAUCGGUACCAAUAAACUGUGUUGAAACAUGUGUCUUGUCGUCUAGAGGACCAGACCUCACCAAUCCAAAGUCCGAGAGUUUGGCCGUGUAAGACUGCAGAAGAACCGGACAGUGGAUUAGACUCGGUUUCCAGCCUAACUAUCAAUUGCAAACUCUAGUAAAUCUAGCAAAAAACAAAAUGGAGAUAUCUAAAAGCAACUGGGGACUGGUUAAGGGUCUUGUCUCGGGUUCUGAACUCAACAUCAAAUCUAAGAAUGAUAAAUUUGCAAUCGACUAUAACCCGUCCAUCAGUUGAGCAAAGGCAAACAUAGGAUCUCCGCUCGCUAUUAUGACUCUUUUCUCAUGGUUAGAGGACAAAAUAUCAAGUCUUCAAAGGGAGAUACGAGGCAUUUUAACGUUAUCAUUAUCCUUCUCCAAAGAAUUUGACUAGAAUGAUAAUAGAUUUCAUAUGAAUUUUGUGAUACAGGACCAUAAUCAUUAUAAGAAGGAUAAAUAAUAACCCCAUCUAGCAAAUAUUUGCACUUUUAAAAUCCCUGUGUAUCACGUUAGAACUGUGCAAGAAGGCCAAGCCUUUGGCAGCUCCUACCGCAAUCUUGAGGCGUACAUCCCAUGAAAGAUGAUCUGUAGAGCCCUCUGUACCAGAGUAAUGACAAUGUAAAAUGUAAGUAAUUCUUAAAAAGCAAAUACGUGUUCAAACCAGCCUGAAAUUUGAAAUUAGCACAUACAUCGACUAUGACUAUAAACUGAUCAAGAAGAUAUGGUAAACAAUUGGCAUCCUUAAGGAGACUUUUCCGAAAUUUACUGAGUGGUUACCACUUACUUCCGAAUAGCUGGUUUUCCAAACUGCCCAUUGGCAUGAACUCAUAAACAAGAGCUAAAUUUUCAUCGUCGUGACAAAAUCCCAGGAGAAUGAUAAGGUUAGGGUGAGAUAUCCUUCCAAUAAAGGCUAUCUUGCUCUGCACGAAAAUAAGCAAAAGAGUCUCACGCGUGGUCAGUAGUAAAAGAUAUGAAAGAAAUGGAAGCCCCCACACUAAACCAGGUAGAUGUUUUUCUCCUUAAGCUUCAAAUGGUCAAAGAAACGAAACAAUCACAACGGAAUAGUUGAUAUCGAAACAAAAGGUACAUAAUGGGAACUAACACCUAAUUUCCAAUGAAAUGUUCAGUUUAACUAGUAGUUUGUAGGGGUGAGCAUCGGUCCAAGGUCAACCCUGGACCGACCCUGGAUCGGUCCAACCUUGCCGGUCCUGGUCUGAUUCCCAAGGAGACUGGGUCGGUCAUUGAUCCUAGAAUUCCUGAACUAGCACUGUGCAGGUCGAUCCUCGAUCCUGAGAGUUCAGGUCGGUCCAACCUUGACUAUAUAUAUAUAUAUAUAUAUAUAUAGAAAACCUUAAAAUAAACGGCAUCAACAUUAAACAACUCUUUAGUGAGGAGUUCAAGUAAUUUUAAAUUUUUUCUUUAAUAACUUAGGUUUUUAAUGUUUUUUACGAUGUCAAUAGUCAUAAUUUACGAAGGAGGAAAAUAUUUUUGUGAGAAGUCCUCAUGACGUUCAAAAAGGCACCUUAUGGCAUCCUCCUUUAGUCUUCGUUCUCUUCUAUCUUAUUUGUCCCCUUAGUCUUCAAUUUUCAAAAAUCGAAAAAAAAAAUUCUACACUCGCCACUCAACGCUUGCCUCACUCGCUUUAGGUCACUCGUGCCUCUCGCCGCUCAAUGCUUGCUUGGUUUAUUGCUCCCUGCUUGACAUUCGAUACUCAUUCUGUUCGACACUCAUUCCACUCGACCCUCACUGCUUGCCUUUCUUAACUGACCUCACUCAUCAUUAAACCCAUUGAGUCAUACGAUCCCCGGUUGCCCUUUUCAAUAAGUACAAAAAAUGAAAUAAAAAAUUAUUUGUUGGUCUUGGGUUGACCUUAAAAUCAGAUCGAACCCAUUGGGUUAGUUCGGUCCUCAAUCGCUUUUUUAAGGAGUACAAAAAAUGAAAUAAAAAAUUAUCAGUUCGUUCGGGGUUGACCCUGGAAUCGGACCGAACCCAUUUGGUCGAUCCGGUCCUCGGUCCCAAGCCCAAUAAGGUCAAUCCUCGAUCCCAAAAAUUGAGAACCAGUACUGUGCGGGUUGGUCUUAGGGUUAAGGAGUGGACCGGCUCAAUCCAGACCAUACUCACCCCUAGUAAUUUGAUUGAAGACUCAUGGUCAUUGUACAUCCUGUAAUAUAAAAUACAUAUCAAUAUUUGGUAAAAUGUACUCAAGUCAUACCAGCACUGUAGAAAAUAUCUAGUUUGCAUGAACCAGUAGUAGCUAUGUAGAAUCAUUGGAAUUUGCGACUGAAAACCGUUUAUUAUUUGCGACCAAACUGAUGACUUUAUCUUGCAGUGGUGUGUCCACCCUAUAUGGUUUGAUCAACCUUGCAAUUUCUUUCAGUUCUUGAAUAUAGAAGCAGAAUUCGCUCGAAGGAAAAAGAAAACAAGUUCACUAUGAAAAGAACCGCAUUGCAUUAGUCAAAGAAGGUUAGAAAGAUGAAGUUGCCUAGGGGCUAUGAUCACAUUGAAAAGGUUGAUCAUUACAUGGAUGGAAGACUCUGAACUUAUAUUUGCGCAAUUUCUUCAUUCCUUGCAAUCGAAUCGCACUUACUAGGUUCUUCCAAUAGUUAGCAUCAUACAAGCCAAUGGCUACACACUCGCGCGGCAUGGGUUUACUAAGUCAAUUACAAAAUAUAAGAAAUGCAAAAAGAAAGUUCAUCACCGCUAACUAAAUGGAGCCCUAAAAUGUAUUUUGCCGAGGACCAUAGUCACCAAAUAAUCUCAAGAACAAAACCAAAAGCGUAUUUUCAAUUGUAAAUAAAUCGUUGAUCUUUCCUUUCUAUCGGAAUGAUUGAAGCAAAAUCGCUUCUUAGAUUCUUAUUUUACUUCAUUUAAAUCCAAAUAAUGCGCAUUAUCUCCACUCAAGUGGGGGGUUAGAUAACUGAAAACUUCACGAGGAUCGUGAACAUACGUUUAGGUAAUAUCACCACACAAUUAACACUACUCAGUCGGGCACCAACAAUAGUGUUGCUACGCCCACUGCAUCAUUUGCACCUACAUGCGAUAAGCAUCAUGACUCUCAGAAUUAUCUGAUCUCUCUAUAACCAAAAUCAGAUGCAAUCCUACAAGCGCCCUUUCAGAAACAAAAUUGGAAGGCAAGGCCACCGCUUAUAGAAAUCCUGGGAUAAUCAACUUCAAAUACAUUUGGAUUUGCGUUUAUAUAGCCAUAUAAAUUCAGGUUGUCUAGUAUUUCUGCUUCUACCAUUUUCACAACGAGGAGAUUUAUUGACAUAACUAAGUUGGGUAUGAUAAGCUCCCAUCAGUAAAAGUACCAAAAAAGUCUUAAACCUAUUUAUUGGUACCAAUACAGCCUUAAAUCUUUCAAUUAGACCAAUUUAUUUCUAAAUCUUUUCACAUUAGUAUCAAUUCAAUCCAUCCAGCUAAUUUGGGCCAGAAAUCAGUGCGUAGACACUAGCGAUCGUACGUUGCAUCGCCAGCACUAACGUGAACAUUUUAAAAAUAUUAUUUAUUAAAUUAUUUAUUUAUAUUUAUAUUUUUUUUCCUUUUUUCUUAUUGUUCCUUUUUUUUCUUUCCUUUUUUUUUUUUUCCUUUCUUUGGACUGUGACCGGUACCAGCCAUGAUCGGCGACGACUGGCCACAGCAAGGGCUGGCAAGGGUGUCAUGGCCCUCACUGGCCACGGGCGAGGGUGAGACCCUUGCGGCCCUCACCAAGUCUGGCAAGGGCUCGACCCUCACCGGAUCUAGCGACGGUGAGACCCUCGCAACCUGGGCGAGGGUGGCUCUUGCCUAACUCGGUGGGGGCGGCAAGGGCUCAAUGCCCUCAUCAGCCCCCACUUGUGGCCGAUCGCCGACAAUGGCCAAUACCGGCCACAGUCCAAAGAAAGGAAAAAAAAUUACUAAAAAAUUAUUUUAAAAUGUUGACAUCAGCAUCGGCGAUACAUAGGAUCAUCGGCAUCCAUGUCACAUAUUUCCGGCCUAAAUUGCCGGAUGAACUGUUGGUACCAAUCUAAAAAUGUUUAUGACUAAAUUGGUCAAAUUGACAGGUUUUGGACUGAAUUAGUACUAAUGCAAUAAAUUUAGAACUUUUUAGGUACUUAUCCCAGCUCCCAUUAGUACCAUCAUGCAUUUGGGUUGCUUCAUUUUCGUAAUUGACAAAGCAAAGUACUUAUAUUCCGAGAAAGGAAUUGAAGACGACUUAGUUCUUACCAGCCACUCUCUAUACCCUUGAGCACCAUCCGGGUUUAAUAUUUUCACAGCUAUUAUAGUUUCUGUCCUUCCAGACUGUUGCUUCCCAUGAAGCGUCCCUCUAUAGACAACCAAAUCCUCCCUCUCCAAGCAGCGCAUCGGCUCGAAAAUUUUUGGUUGCCUCUUUCAACUCUGCGAAACUGAAGACGGUCAAGCUGGGGUCUGCCUCAAUCUUUCCAUCUCCGAAGGCCUUUUUGUCGCGGGCAGCUAGCAAGUCAUGGCUAUUGCUGGCUGCAGGAGAUAUGAAGUUGUGAUUUUCCACUUCGAUCCUGUAGUUUCAAAAAAGAAAAACAAAGAACACAGAAAAUUGCUUCAGACGAUAACAAGAAGAACAUUAACGACUCCGAUCUGAAGCACAAAGAUUCAUUUUAUAGAGACUACAUAGAUGUAAAGAUAAAGAUCACUUUAGGAAAAAAAUUGAAGGGUACCCGAUUUGAGAUGACCAGCAUAGCUAGGAGUAGGGAAGUCAGGGGUACCAAAGCACACCCCCAUCUCUCUCUCUCUCAACGGGCUGGAGCUUCCAUGUCGCACACGACACGUAUCGACGUGUCAGACAUGCGGUCAAUACGUGUCGAAUUUUCCGACACAUGUUCAACUCUUCUCGACAUGUUCCGACACAUGUAUCCAAUAGAGAGGAUCAUUGAAGAAGACCAUGGAGGGUGGAGGCGAGGCGAAGGAGCGGAGGCAAGGCUGUGACGGUAAGGGAGUGGCACAGAAAGUGCAAAGAUUGAGCCACGACUGUGAUGGAAGGCCAGAGGCGAGGCGAUGAGUGAUUGUGAUGAGGCGACGGAGAGAGAACAGAGAUCGAGAGAGAGAGGGUCGCGCGAGGAGGAGGAGGCAGAGGGUUUAGAGGGACGAAACUCAAAAAGUUAAAAUGGGAUUUGAUGGGACUUUGGCGUGAUCCUUUCUUUCUAGAGGGAAGGGAAGUGCAUUGGACAAGAGGUCAAUUUUGAAGAAAGAAGUGACAAGUUAAGGAGUACAGGGAGAAGAAACGGGGGGAAAAUUGAGAAACAGGGAAGUGGAAUAAAUUUGGGGGUGGACCCCGAGGGACUUUUUUAUCAAAAAAAUAGAUAAGAAGACUACGAAAUCAUUUCAAAAAAUAGAAGUAUUGAAUGUUGAAUAAUUAUAAAUAAAAAAUCAUUAAAAAAUAGAUUUAUUUAAAUAAGUUAAUUUUAAUUUGUUUUUUUUUUUGUAAUAGGUAAAAUGUAUUAUAACUUUUAACCAAGGAGCUACACAAAGGCACAGCAAAAGAACCGACUCCAAAAACAUACACUUAGCUACACAAAGGUAAUUUUAAUUUGUUGUUAGUCAUUAGUUUUAUCAAUAAUUUUUACUAGAGUUAGAAACAUAUCCACAAACAUGAAUACACAUUAUUUAUGAAUAUCUUUCGAAUUUCUUAUAAAUAAAUUUAUUAAUAUUAUUAAUAUAAAUUUAUUGUAAUCUCUUUUUUAUUAUUUAUUUAAUUAUAAAACUAAAUUAAAUUAAUUAAAAAAUAAAAAUAUUAUAUUUAAUAUAUAAUAUAUCUCAACAUGUUAAAAUUUUUUAUUUUUAAAUAAUAAUUUAUUGGCAUAUCAUAACGUGUUUUUUCUUCUCCCUUGCCUUUACAAAGUCUCAUUUCUUCGGAAGUUGAGGCAAUUGACUUUUUUUCCGUACAGACAUGGCAAAUCACCCAAACGCGCUCGAUGCUGACAUUUUCUGGCCCGUCAUUAACUCUCUGCGGAAAGUCAAAGCUGGCUCCGCACGUCGUUUUCACACUAGUUGAUUUUCUUGUUUUUCCAUGGCAGAUCCCACGAAUUUCCACAGCAAAUCCCCUCUCAGUGGAAAGUCAAAUUUCCACAAAUUUCCACACUCGGGGGACUUUUAUAUGUAGGAAAAAUGCUGAUAAGAACAAAUAAAUUUGUUUGAAGCGUGCAAACGUAAGCACUGUCCUUAAGGAUAAUUCCGCCCCUCGGAGUGCGAAACUCGGUGAUAGGCUUCUGACGGCUAUCCUCCCAAGAUACAACAGACCUUCUUCUAUAUUCCGCACUGAAUAUUAGAAGGAACAGAAACAACAUCUGUAUAUAACCCAGCAUGAAAAAGGAAAGGAAAGAUUUCAAAAAGAAAGAAUAUUCUUUGUUUCAUUCGGUGUGUAUUUUUAAGAUUGUCUUAUGAGAUUUUAUAUUCAGACAAAAUAGAGCCGUUAAAAGAGCUAUUGUAAAAUAAUGAAGAAUUUAUUUGAGAAAUAAAUUAAAUGUUACAAACGGUUGAAAAGCCAUUAUAUGACCAUUAAAAAACCGUUAUGUGACCGUUAAAAAUAAUAAUAGUCUUCAAUGUGGUCAUAACUAUUAUUGAAGUUAUUAUUGUUAUUUCAAAAUAUUAUUGAAAUAUCCAACAAUCCCCCACAUAUUUCAAAAGAUUUUAAAAAUAAAAUUAACAUGAUGCUUGGUUAUUGGAGUGUAAUGCAUCGGAACUGGUGCUUGUUAGGCUAUGAACCAGCCCUAUAAAAAAUGAAAUAUAAUUCACGAAAUUAUUAGUGAAGUUUGAAACUUCUAUGAACCAAAAAUUUCUUUUGUGAAUUAUAAUUUUCACCAAUCACAUUGCACUCCCACAAACUUUGUUGUUCAACGCGGUUUUGCGCUAAUAGGCCAUGCGUGUGCUUGGUUUAUUCAUAAGUGCUUUAGAAAUUUUCACCAAAAAUUCUCAUAGGAGUGGCCCCACUCCACACUUAUAUAGGUGAUUCCAUCAAGUGUAUUAUGCAGCUUAAUACACCACCAAUAAUGGCUAUGGAAUUUCAUUAAGAGCUUAGCUCAACCUCUUUUUUCCUUGCAGUUUUGCACCAUUCUCAUUUUAGGAUGGAUAAUAAUUUUUAAUAGUGCAUCACUAGAACAACAAGUGACUUGUUAUUACCCAUAUGAACCUAAUUCAUGGGAUUGCCAAUCACAUAGGUUGGGUUACCAUCACUGUUACUUUUCCUCAAUUGGCUUAAGUCACAUUCCCCUCGAUGUGUCAUAAAUUAAUUUUCUUCCCACAGGUUUACUCAGAAGAUCGGCUAAAUUCACUUCUGAAUUUACAAAAUCGAUAGAUAUAAUUCCAUCUUUAAGCAGCUACUUUACUACAUCAUGUCUCAGUCGGAUGUGUCUAUUUUUACCAUUGAAAUUGUUAUUCUUUGCUAUGGCUAUUGCCGCUUGGCAAUCAUAGUGCAUAGACACAGAAAGGUGUCGGUUUCAUUCCCAAAGAAAUAUCCGCUAAGAGGUUCCUUAACCACUCACUCUAGAGCCACAAACUCUAACUCCAUGGUGGAUUUAGCAAUUAUUGUUUGUUUGGCUGACUUCCAAGUUACAGCACCUCCACCAAAGGUAAACACAUAUCCACUAGUGGAUUUUGUCUCAUCUGAAUCUGAAAUCCAAUUAGCAUCACUGUAUCCUUCUAAUACAGCGGGAAAUCCACUAUAUAAGAUGCCAUAAUUCAUGGUUCCUCUCAAAUAUUUCAUUAAUCUAUUCAAAGCAGUCCAGUGAUAUUUGUGUAUAUCUGCUCAAUCUACAUACAACAUAAGCUAUAUCAGGUCGAGUAUAAUUCAUCAAAUGCAUCAAACCCCCAAUAAUUUGAGCAUACUUAGACUAAGUCACACCAUCUCCUUUAUUUUUCAUUAAUUGGAUAUUAGAAUCAUAAGGAGUAUUCACAGGUUUAACAUCAAAGUGAUCAUAUUUUUUAAGUAGCCUCUCCACAUAAUACGCUUGAGUAAGCAUUAGGCCACUAUCACUCUUUAUGAUUCUAACACCCAAAAUAAUAUUAGCUUCCCCCAAGUCCUUUAUAUGGAAUUUAGAAGUUAAAAAACAUUUUGUUUCAUUCACUACAUCAAUACAUGUACCAAAAAUAAGCAUGUCAUCAACAUAUAAGCUAAUAAUUACAAAUUCACCAUCAAUAGUUUUUGUGUAUACACAUUUAUCUACUCCAAUAGAGAAAAAUCCAUUACUAACUAGAACAUCAUUAAUUUCUCAUACCAUUGCUUUGGCGCUUGCUUUAAGCCGUAUAAAGAUUUAACAAGUUUACAAACUUUAUUUUCUUGGCCAGGAAAAAUACAGCCCUCAGGUUGCACCAUGUAAAUUUCCUCUUCCAAAUCACCAUUUAAAAAAGCUGUUUUAACAUCCAUUUGGUGAAUAAUAAGUUUGUAAAUAGAAGUCAAAGCAAUUAAAACACGAAUUGAUGAAAUUCUUGUAACUGGAGCAAAAGUGUCAAAAAAAUCAAAAUUUUAUUUUUGAGUAAAACCUUUUGCAACUAAUCUUGCUUUAUAUUUAUCAAUAGAACCAUCAGGAUUAUAUUUUCUUUUAAAAAUCCAUUUACAACCGAUCAGUUUCGCACCGAAUGGUAAAUCAACUAAUUUCCAAGUUUGAUUUUGUAAGAUAGAAUCAAUCUCGAUUUUUAUAGCUUCUUUCCAAAAAUUGCUUUCUGAUGAAGAUAUUGCUUCAGAAUAAGUCAAAGGAUCAUUAUCAAUAAGAUAAGUAUAAAAAUCAUUCCAAAAAAAAGUUUCUUUCCUUAUUCUUUUGCUCCUUCUCAAUUCGUCAUUUGAAUUUUUGAAAGACGGUACUUGUCAGUUCUGUUUGAGAUCUUUCGCANNNNNNNNNNNNNNNNNNNNNNNNNNNNNNNNNNNNNNNNNNNNNNNNNNNNNNNNNNNNNNNNNNNNNNNNNNNNNNNNNNNNNNNNNNNNNNNNNNNNUUUUUCAUUUGCAUUGGCUAUAACCCGUCCAUCAGUUGAGCAGAGGGAAACAUAGGAUCUCCUAUCGCUAUUAUGACUCUUUUCUCCCAUUUAGAGGACAAAAGAUCAAGUCAUCAAAGUGAGAUACUAGGCUUUUCAUCGUCAUCAUUAUCCUUCUCCCAAGAAUUUGACUAGAAUGAUAAUAGAGUUCAUAUGAAUUUUGUGAUACAAGACCAUAAUAAUUAUAAGGAGGAUUAAAUAAUAACCUGAUCUAGCAAAAUAUUUGCAGGUUUGAUAUCCCUGUGUAUCAUGUUACAGGAACUGUGCAAGAAGGCCAGGCCUCGGGCAGCCCCGACCAUAACCUUGAGGCGUACAUUCCAUGGAAGACUUCCAGCGGAGCCCCCUGUACCAGAGUAAUGGACAGUUUAAAACGCGAGUCAUGCUUCAAUGCAAGUACAUGUUCAAACCAGCCUGAAUUUUGAAAUUAGCACAAGCAUCGACUAUAACUAUCAACUGAUCAAGCGGAUAUGCUAAACAAUGGGCAUCCUUAAGGAGACUUUUCCGAAAUUUACAAAGUGAUUAGACCACGUACUUCUGAAUAGCUGGUUUUCCAGACUGCCCAUUGGCAUGAACUCAUAAACAAGAGCUAAAUUUUGAUCGUCGUGACAAUAUCCUAGGAGCUUGGCAAGGUUAGGGUGAGAUAUCUUUUCAAUAAAGGCUAUCUCCCUCUGCACAAAAAUAAGCAAAAGAGUCUCACACAUGGUCAAUAGUGAAAGAUAUGAAAGAAAUGGAAGCCCCCACACUAAACCAGGUAGAUGUUUCUCUCCUUAAGCUUCAAAUGGUCAAAGAAAUGAAACAAUCACGAUGGAAUAGUUGAUAUCGAAACAAAAGGUAUAGAAUGGGAACUGAGACCUAAUUUCCAAAGAAAUAUUCAGUUUAACUAGUAGUUUGACUGAAGACUCAUGGUCAUUGUGCAUCAUGUAAUAUAAAAUACAUAUCAAUAUUGGUAAAAUGUACUUCAAGUCAUUCUAGCUUUGUAGAAAAAAUCUAGCUCGCCAUGAACCAGUAGUAGCGAUGCAGAAUCAUUGGAAUUUGUAACUGAAACCAUUUAUAAUUUGCGAUCAAACUGGUGACUUUAUGUUGUAGUGGCGUAUCCACCCUAUAUGGUUUUAUAAGCCUUGCAAUUUGUUUCAGUUCUUGAAUAUAUAAGGAGAAUUCGCUCGAAGGAAGAAGAAAACAAGUUCACUAUGAAAAGAACCGCUUUGCAUUAGUCAAAGAAGGUUGGAAAGACGAGUUGCCUGAGGGCUAUGAUCACAUCGAAAAGGUUGAUCAUUACAUGGAUGGAAGACUUUGAACUUAUAUUUGCGCAAUUUCUUCAUUCCUUGCAAUCGAAUUACACUUAGUAGCUUCUUCCAAUGGUUAGCAUCAUACAAGCCAAUGGCCACACACACUCCAUGACAUGGGUUUACUAAGUCAAUUACAAAAUAAAAGAAAUGCAAAAAAUAAAGUUCAUGACCGUUAACUAAAUGGAGCCCUAAAAUCUAUUUUGCUGAGGACCUUAGUGACCAAAUAAUCUCAAGAACAAAAUCACUUCUCAGAUUCUUCUUUUACUUCGUUUAAAUUCAAAUAAUGCACAUUGUAUACACUAAAGUGGGGGGUUAGAUAACUGCAAACUUCACGAGGAUCUUGAACAUACGUUUAGGUAAUAUCACCAAACAAUUAACGCUACUCAGUCACGCACAAACAAUAGUGUUGUCUGCUGCAUUGCACCCCAGCAAAGCCGAUGAGGCCGUCAAUGAACUCUCAGAAAUAUCUGAUCUCUCUAUAACCAAAAUCAGAUGCAACCCACAAGGGUCCUUUCAGAAACAAAACUAAAAGGCCAGGCGACCACUUAAAGAAAUGCUGGGAUAAUCAACUUCAAAUACAUUUGGAUUUGCGUUUACAUAGCCAUCAUAAUUCAGAUUGUCCAGUAUUUCUCCUGCUAUUUUCACAACGAGGGUGUUUAUUGACACAGUUGAGUUGGGCAUGACAAGCUCCCAUCAGUACCAUCAUGCAUUUGGGUUACUUCGGUUUUGUAAUUGACAAAACAAAGUACUUGUACUCCGAGAAAGGAAUUGAAGACGACUUAGUUCUUACCUGCCACUCUCUAUACCCUCGAGUGCCGCCCUGGUUUAAUAUUUUCACAGCUAUUAUAGUCCAUGUAUUUCCAGACUGUUGCUUCCCAUGAAGCAUCCCUUUAUAGACACGACCAAAUCCUCCCUCUCCAAGCAGCGCAUUGUCCGGAAAAUUUUUGGUCGCCUCAUUCAACUCUGCGAAACUGAAGAUGGUCAAGCCGCGGUCUGCCUCAAUCUUUCCAUCUCCGAAGGCCUUUUUGUCGCGGGCAGCCAGCAAGUCAUGGCUAUUGCUGGCUGCAGAAGAUGAGGAAGUAGCGUGGGCAGCCGGCAAAUUGUUGCUGGCUGCAGAAGAUGAUGAAUUAGUGACUUCCCACUUCGCUCCUGUAGUUUCAAAAACGGAAAGCAAAGGAACAGAGAAAAUUGCUUCAGAUGACAACAAGAAGAACAUUAAAGACGCCAAUCUGAAGCACAAAGUCUAAUUUUAUAGACUACAUAGAUGUACAGACAAGGAUAAAUGUAGGAAAAAUUUAAAGAGUACCUGAUUUGAGAUGACCAGUAUAGCUAGGAGUAGGGAAGUCAGGAGUACCAAAACACACCCCCAUCUCUCUCUGUCUCUCUCAACAAGAACUUCUGUCUUUUCGCUACCUCGCCUCCUCCAACUCCAAAUCUUGUUUGCUCUGGAGAGGUGAAAACACCUAAAAAGGCUCUCGCUGCUGACAUUUUCUGUCAUUUUCCACACCAGUUGAUUUUCUUAAUGCCCAAAGCAGGUCCCACAAUUCCAACGCGUUCAUAUAUUGACCUCCGAGAGACUUUUACCGUAAUAUUUGACGUUUCAAAGGUGGUGGGACCCACACGAAAAAAUAAAUAAAGAAAAAGGAGAAGGAAAGCAGAAAUAGGGCACGCCCGGUUUUAAAACAAACUCCAUUCAGUAGAAUUUAGAAAUCCAUAAAGUCGAUCGAGAAGAAGCUUCCUCUUCUUUUCUGCCGACUCUGCCCUGCUUACGCCGGAAUAAAAAGUCUAUCCUUUUUUCAUCAGAGUCGACCAAUUUGGAAAGAUCAUGCAAAUCAUUUGGUGGAGAUGUCAAAUGUCUGUGGAAGGGAUUUACACCGCACUCCGCGUUAAUUCUGUUCUCUUAGGUAUCUUUCUUCGCAAUCCGACAACCGAGCCAGAGUCCUUCAUGGAACUAGUUUGCUGCCAGCUUAGCUGGCAAAUAGUCCUUAUGAAGCCAAGAGGGGAAUUGAUUCCAUCAUCCGCUUUCGUGCGCUUAAGUCAGGUUUUUGCUUUCUUGCAGUGUAUCCAUCCAUUCACAAACAUUCCCAAAGCAGCAGCACAAAAUGAUGUUGUAUUAUUAGGACCAAAAAAAAUUAUUUCAUUUCCAAGACACUGUUGGAGUCAACACCUAAUAUAAUAAUGAAAGUCCAUUAUGCAUAUGCAUGAAGUCUGGACGUGAGGCGGUGAAUAAGAAGAAACUCGUACGUGGGCAGCAAGCGUACACAUGAAGGAAUAGAUGGGCACAUAUUAAAAUAAUAGUAUAAUUGUUACUGGAGCCUUCAAGGAGCAAGAAGCAAAGUUCAACUUUGUUAGUACUUGGACGUGAAGGAAAAGAAGACAGCCCACAAUUUUUGACUGCCAAGAAGAAAAGCUCAACUUCAAUUCUGCACGUUGAAGAUAAUGGCGGUGAAGUGCUUAUAAAUAUAGGGUUACGUUAGUUUAUUUAGUGAGAGAGUGAGAUUUAAGAGAGAGUUAUAAGCUUAGCAAAGCUUGUGUGUGUCUUGUGUGUGUACUCCAUUAAGCCUUUACAAGGCAUAUUGUGUAAUAUAAUCUCUCUUUGUGUGUUUACACUCUCUCCCUCCAAAUCCUUUUGGUUCCAACAGACACAAUCAAUUUCCUUUCCCAAUUUCAUAGACGGCAAGAGAUUAAGGGAAAACCAGCUCUAAUCUUAGGUUCCCACGAAACAUUCGGACAGUUUGGCCGAGCAGCUUUCUUAACCGCCGACAUGAAGGCGACGGGCUUUUCUCUGAACGCCCUACAAAUCUAACUAUUUACCACCUUCGAAAUGCACGUCCUUUGCAAACCUUUGGUCGCUACACUUAAGACUUCCGAAGCUUUAGACCUAGACAGCUUCCACAUAAACAAGCCACUUCCAGGCACGCUGCUAGACCGAUGGAAAGCAACUUUCAAGCCACAAUUUUCGUAGCCUACAUGAUUCCCUGCAAUUAGCCAGGGACCCUUAAAAAGUACCGUCAUUGGCCAUUAAUUCCAAAAUGCACUCUCAGAAGCUCGGAAACUUCCAGGCAAAGAUGAUGUGAUUAAGCUGAGCUUUUUCUUUCAUCAUGCCAUAGAAAGCUGUCUUGAUCAACAUUGCCUGAACCACCUGUUCUAAAUUGAAUAAAGAUGUAGAGUUGAGCCUAGGAAUCAUCAUCAGCCAUGCACUGGUGUGGUCAAAAAGAAAUUGCAGGAGAAACCGACUGCUAAAUUCAUGAACUCAAAAUUGAACACACUAAGGGAGUAUGAUGUCAUGCACAUACCUACUAAGUUGUUAGACGACCAAUAAGCUUGAUGGAAAAGCAGGUACUCAUUCAAAACUAUCCUUAACAAAGUAUGGAAUGUGCCCAUCGAGCUUAGCUGACAUCCCUCUCAGAUACACAACAGCAUUAAUUAAAGAACCCCGCUUAAUACCCAUCGUUGGCCCCAUAUACUGAGCCAUAAGCUCCCCCAUGCGCAGUGAGUCCUGGGUUCGAUGCCGGAGAUGCAUAAACAGAACCGUGAGCUCCAUAAGAAUUAUAACCUUGGUCCAUGUGCCCAGCUGCUGGUGCCUGCGAUGGUGCUGCUGCUGCCUCCGCUAUAAAAUUCUGCAAAAUGGAUAUGUUUUUUGGCGUUAAAGUGCAGAAGCCUACAUCAAAUGGUCAUAAGGAAAUGCAACAACAUCGUCCAUCUCUCCUCAGUUGAACCACUAUAAUAACUGUCUACCAAAAGAUAGAAUGUACGUGACAGUAGAGGCACUUUCUCUAGGAGGCCUCUUCGGCAUUUUCAAAUCCAAAAUUUAAAGCAAUUGCAAGACUAACGUAACUAAGUUGAUUCCAAAUCUAUAGAGACAUUAAAACUAAGACCCUGAAAAAUAAGUUGGGUAAAAGAAUAGUUGACUACUUCAAGAAAUUUAUAAUGUUUCAAGAAUGGUUUCGAAGCCAUAGAAGGGAAAAAUCUUCUGAGCCGAAUCAAAUAUGAAAGCAAUCGAGUGAUGGAUUUAACAUUUGAGUCAACUUGGUCAAUCCAGUUUUCAAUCUUAAUAAAAGAUUUUAAUGAUAAAAAUUGGGAAUCAAAUUGGUUUUUCAUGGUGGAAACAAACCAAUUCAAUUAGUGGGUCUAUUCUGAACUCCCCAAAAAAGUUAAUAAGUUUGUUAGCUCUCGAGGAAGUUUUGCACUAAAAAAGAACAAAUUAUCAGUGUUACUUAACAUUUCAUCCUCACUGGUAGUCCGGUACAAGUUUCAACAGCACAUAUGAUAUUCUCCAAUAUUUCAUAUUCAAGGGAGAAGAUGAUUCGAGAUCAUCAUUGUUAAGAUAAAUUUCAAUUUUUUUUCUCAAGUUUCUCAAUCAUCUCGACAUAUUUAUUUUUCUUAAGUCAUCUCGAGACAAAAAACCAACCUGUCCCAUUUCCGUCUCUCUUUUUUUCCUUACUUUGUAAGAUUCCUUUUGGGAAAUGGCACUAUAUGCUUCUCUAGGUUAAAGCUUCCACCUAACUUUCAACUCUUUCGCUCGCUCACUCACAUCCCAAGACCAGAUCCAAUGUACCCUUCAAAAGCGCCCAUACUCUUACCCAGGUUCAUUCGCCCCCAACUCUUUCCUCAUUUUCCUCCCUUCCCAUCACUCCAUAAUGCUCCUCCUCCUCCGCCGUUGCCAUUUAUCGAUGCCACCGUCAACCUUCCGAGGCAUCCGAGGGGUUGGCUUCUGGCACGCGCGCACCUUAGCAGGAGUAGUGCAGGUGAUUAGCUCCCUCUGGACUUUACUUCGUCCAUUUCCACAUGAAGUUAAAAAAACCACACGCUAGCAAGCAUUAGAUGGUCCUUCUUAUAAAAAAAAUUCUUGGAUUAUGUUUGAGAUUUUUACUAGGUCCGUAUUUUUUCUAGAAAUUAUGUCCUUUAUCAGUGUAAAGAAAUUUCUACACAUUCCGCGUUGGAUAGGGCAACAUGUGUAACAAUGCACUUUGAUAUUUAUCCAUGUAUUUUCAUACAAAUAAGUGCUGCAGAAUCAAAGGAGAACCAAUAUUUGAACUCUCAAUAAGUAUGUUUUGGCAAGACAUUAUCAAACGUCCAAACUUAGGUUAACAUUUUUCAACACAUUUAUUAGCCACUUUCUAAAAGAAUACUUUACGACAUUUGUAGUAGCCACGCUGGAACAAUUUAUAGACAUACCAUGCUCAAAACGACCAGCCCAUCGCAUCGACUUCUUUAUUUUUUAGAAGGGCUUCUUCGCCCUUUUCUUUUUUCACAUGGCUCGGACAAAUUGAAUCUUUCCAAGAAAAAAAAAGACAAAUAUAACUCUAUGGAUGGGCUGAGGUACAAAAAANNNNNNNNNNNNNNNNNNNNNNNNNNNNNNNNNNNNNNNNNNNNNNNNNNNNNNNNNNNNNNNNNNNNNNNNNNNNNNNNNNNNNNNNNNNNNNNNNNNNGAAACAUAGACCGUCGAGAUCGACCGCAGAGGGAUGAGCACGCGCUCAAAGGAUCGGGGCGUGACAAUAAUUGUCCGAGCAAUUGCCUCUAUGCCCCGGCCAACUAAGAGUAAGUUAUUUUUGCAGCACAAUAGACAUCUUAUAUGGAAAGUAACACAUAUUUAAGUUAGAUAGUCGUAGUCUUUUAGAGUGUGAAUGUUGCGCGCACAUGGUACAUCUACAUGACCACAGAAAAUGCCGAGGGUGGUCAAACCAUCAUUAAUACGGGCUAAAAUUUUCCCCUUUUGUCACGGACAAGGGCCGGGGGGGAUGUUAUAUAGUCUGUAAAGAGUGGCCAAAUGCAGAGCUGUGUCCAUCCGGCUCAUUUAUAACAUCCUCAAGGUUGGGUGUCUGCAGUAUGUACUUGACUACAAUUUUCUCUGCCACCUAUAUAACUGCAGCAUGAAUUACCAUUUGUCCUUUGUCAUUGAUUGAUAUCGAGACACAAUCUAACCAUCUCGGCAAUGACACCGAUGUGGUUCAGAAUGCAGCAGUAUGAAGAGUGGACUCCCCAUCUUUGUCUGAGAAAUUUUCUGCAGAAACGUAGGAUGCCGGAAUAGUUUAACUGCUUCAGCACUGCCAUAGUAAGCAACGUAAUGAAGAGGAGUCCAAAUGUCAUCUCCUUCUCUAAUCAUCAGGGUUCUUUCAUGCGAUGGUUUCUUCGCGGCAACCUUCCCAAAUCUCAAUUAAAUGAGGGUUGCAAGGUAUAUUAAGACUGUUUCAGACUCGAGAUUGACUCUUAUGAUGUGUUGUUUCCUCACUUCUUUUUACUGCAAUCUUAAGGGCAAUGCAGCAGCAUAUAUGGCGUGGUUAUCUCGACGAUUUUUUUCUAUCAUCCAUCUUUGCCUCUCUUAGAUAAACUGGUGCAAUUAAUAGAUACGUAAAACUAAACGCCAGAAGUUUUUGGCAGAGGAUUCCUCUAGUAUUCAUCAAGGGAAUCAUGCGCUCUUUCAUUCCUGAAAUUGGAGGCUGAGGCUCUAAUUGGAUGUCACAAAGUAUCAGGUCAAAAAAAAAUUUGAUGGAAACAUCACUCAAUGAAGGUCUUUGCAUUGCACCUCUGUUACUUCUCACCUCUCAAGUUUUCUCCUUUCCAUUUCAAUGGGAUUGCUGAUGCAGUUCAGCCUGGAAGCAUCCUAGAGCCAAGAGGUUAUUCAAUUUUUUACUGCUUGUGCAUGGUUAAUCUAAUUGUUUGCUUUCUUGAAGUAACCACACACGCAGAGGAUUAGUAAGAUUGGGGUAGAAAUCGUCCGCGCGGUUGACAAAGAUACGUUAGCAGAUUUACUUCUAUCCUUCCUUCUAUUUCUAGUCAGAAAGAGACACAGGUUCCCAUAAGUAAGAGUCUCGGGAUACUUACAGCGGGACCAAUCACAGCAGGACCAAUCAUAGUCUGCUGCCGCCCGCAAAGCACUCAUUCUGUAACAUCCCGGGCCCCACUGUGUGAUAUUGUCCGCUUUGGACACUGAGUCCUCACGGCUUUAAAACGCGUCACACAAAUUAAGGGACCCAAGCCUUAUAAACAAGGCCCAGGACUCCCCCCUAAGCGAUGUGGGACAAGAGGGAGAGGAUCCCUUCCUUGCGCAUGUCCGGGGACCGAGGCGCGGACGCACCACCAUCCCUCCUCCUCGCGCACCGCCGCUCGGGCCGACACACUCUCCCCCCCUUAACAGAACAGCGUCCUCGCUGUGGCCCCACACGCUACCUUGAGAUAUAUGUACAAAGUCACCCUUCAUCUUUGCUUGGAAUGACUUUGGGAAGAAUUGAGCAUUGAACGCCUUUUUAAAGUCCUCCCAUGAUAUAAUAACAUCCCUACCUCUUCGGGACCCUUACAAGAGGACAACGACAGGGAUGCAUCUAACAUCAGCCUAGUAAUUUGAUGAGCCCAUUGUGGAGUCGCCACGUAUAGUGGGGAUUCAUCGGCAGCAUUAAAAAUGUUACACAGUUUAUGAUCUUCGAACCAGCAAUUUCUCUGGCUGCAUAGUGCAGUGCAGCGUCCUUGUCCGAAUUUGCCAUUCGAAGAAUCUCUUUGCAUGUAUCAACUUGUCCUUAUUCAAAAACCUAAUGCAGUCGAUUUGCAAACGUAAUGGAGAGUUGUUUCAAAGCAUCUUACUUCAGCAGCAACGUGUAGGGGAGUGUCUCUUCUGUAGUUGCUUUGCCAAAGAAGGAAUGGUCGUGAUGGACAUUGAAUGUAAGAUAUGAUUAUAAAAAGAGGAAGAAGUCGAACUCCAAUAAAAAUGCCCGCUGCUACCGUAGAAGCGGCACGUAUGAGAGCCAAAAUGGGAGUAGGGCCUUCCAUGGCACUAGGUUACCAUACAUGAAGGAGGCAUUGUCCUGAUUUCCCAACUGCACCUCCAAAUUAAAGAAAGGCACAUAAAGUAAGAAAUAAUAAGGAAACCUCAUUAUUAUAAAUCAAGUUAUUGAUAUUUGUAACAAAUCCCUUUUUACCGCAAAGAUGUUGCGCAAAUGGGAUUUGAUCAAAAAUUCUCACUACUUCUUAUAUUUAUGGACCCCACGCCCCUAUGGCGAAAUUGGUAGACACGUUGCUCUUGCAACGCAAAAGAGCAUCUACGAUCAACUUUACAUCUUGUAUUAAGCAGCAACACAGAGCGUUGUUCUACUUGGGCGUUGUUUCGUGGAAAGGGAAAAAGGGAGAAUGUAAACCCAAUGCACGUGCUGAAAGAGCAUGCCUGCACAAGUUCAACCUUAGGAGACUUUGGAGGUAAAUCACAAUAUUCGAAUAAAGAGUACUAACUUGUCUUCUAUAAUUGAUUAAUUAUUGAGUGUUACUAUUUUCAAAUUAUGAUUGCGGACCACACAGUCAAGCUAUGGUCCAUAAAGGUAAGUUAUCGGUUACAAGUGAAAACAAGUUCCCGCCAUUAAAUAUAUACUAUGACUUAAAGUUAAAUUACGGCACCUGUUUUGGAUCCAAAAUGCACCCUUUUCAUGUCCAGUCCAAUAUAAGAUAGAAAUAUUAUAGAUAACAUUUUAAGAGAAUUUCAAUUCAACUUUAUCUAAUAUUAGCAUGUAAUCUUGCAAGAUUCGAUGAUACUUUCAUUCUCGAAAAAAAAAUGCAAUUUUUUAUAGAACUAGAAACUCGUUCAUACUUCACACGUAAGCAACAGUCCCUUAGCAUAGGCACAUGAUGAUAUGCAUUACGAUAAUCAGAAAUUGAUUAAGUUAACAUUAGUUAUGUGUCAAGAUUUCAGUUUCCAAAUCCCUAUAGAUCUUUGUAUACCAUGAUUUCUGUUUUUGAUACUGUAUCGUUGUUUCCAUGUUCGACAACCUGUAUCCAGAUUGAGCAUAUAUCAUUGUGCUCAAGUCCUGCCUCCAAUUUGUUAUCUAUGUUCCAGGAAACCAAGAAAAGAUAACGAAACAAUUGGACAUGUCUUGGCCGCAACAACAUAGCGCCAAAUCACAUGUCUUGUUCAAUUGGAAUCGACAACUAGGCAGCUCUUUACUUUAAAUGACUCGAUCAGUAACCCAACCUUGUCUCAGAGCUCAAAAAUAACAAGAAUGGAACGAACAGCAUAAUUCUUCCUGGAGAUUGGUGGCGGGCCGAGUGCCAUAUGAACAAAUUCACGACAGCAACAGGAAUGAGCUUCUACUGAUGUUUAAAGCCUCAGCAUGAAAGAAACAAAAGAGCUCGUACUCUUGAAGAGCUACGGACUUUUUUGGUAAACCUUAGAUUGCUAACAAAAUUAAGGAUUAGCCAUCAAAAAACAGUUCCCCUCUUAAAGAAAGUGUAAUCACAACGUCUCAAUUCGGAAGUUGAUGCACAUAAUGAUAGACACGUAUGAAUAUUCCAAAGAGCAUAAAAGAAGACACAACACUGGUAGCUACUGGGUACAAUCGAAAAGAAUAUUCAAAGCCCGUUUGUAAUCCUUGGAAGCAACAGACUUGGAUCCCAUCACAUGAAGUACAAACAACAUAACAAAUAAAUUCACACAUUCCGUAGUAUUCCUUUAGCACUGACCGCUGCUAUUGAUUCCAGUGUUUCCACGACUUCACACAUGGAAGGCCGGGACUUUGGAUUAGGUCUAAUGCAUAUAAUAGCUAGCUGUGCUAUCCGGCGUACAGAGCCCACACUAUAUUCGUCCCGCAAUCUCGUGUCAACUAGAGCCAACGGUUUUCUUUUACUGGAUAAGUAUAAUCUGGUCCUCUCCACUAAAUCAACUCUAUCUGCUGGACUGCUCAGAUCAAAUGCCCUGCUACCUGUUAGUAUCUCAAGCAACACGAUGCCGAAACUAUAAACAUCACUCUUUAUGGUGGGAUGCCCUGUAAAAUCCGAGAGUCUUAUGUGAUGUUGCAGCAAAGCAUCAGGAAAUAACUUUCCCAUAUUAUUGUCAAAAUUCAAGACCGAGCAUCAGUCAGCACUAAGUCACCAAUAAGCACUUUAAAACGGAAAAAUUACCAGUUGUUCUGUAUUCAGGGGCAGCAUAGCCAUAGGUACCGAUAAACUGUGUUGAAACAUGUGAAUUGUCUUCUGGAGGACCAGACCUCACCAAUCCAAAGUCCGAGAGUUUGGCCGUGUAAGACUGCAGAAGAAGCGGACAGUGGAUUAGACUCGGUUUCUAGCCUAAAUAUCAAUUACAAACUUCAGUAAAUCUAGCAAAAAACAAAAUGGAGAUAUCUAAAAGCAACUGGGGACUAGUUAAGGGUCUUGUCUUGGGUUCUGAACUUAACAUCAAAUCUAAGAAGGAUAGAUUUGCAAUCGACUACAACCCCUCUAUCAGUUGAGCACAGGGAAACAUAGGAUCUCUGCUCGCUGUUAUGACUCUUUUCUCCUGGUUAGAGGACAAAAUAUCAAGUCUUCAAAUUGAGAUACUAGGCAUGUCAUCACCAUCAUCAUCCUUCUCCCAAAAAUUUGACUAGAAUGAUAAAAAAGUUCAUAUGAAUUUUGUGGUACAGGAACAUAAUCAUUAUAGGGAGGAUAAAAUAAUAACCUCAUCUAGCAUAAUAUUUGCACUUUUGAAAUCCCUGUGUAUCAUAUUACAGGAAUUGUGCAAGAAGGCCAAGCCUCUGGCAGCCCCAACCGCAAUCUUGAGGCGUACAUCCCAUGAAAGAUGAUCAGCAGACACCUCUGUACCAGAGUAAUGGACAAUGUAAAAUGUAAGUAAUUCUUAAAAGCAAAUAGGUGUUCAAACCAGCCUGAAUUUUGAAAAUAGCACAUGCAUCGACUAUGACUAUCAACUGAUCAAGUGGAUAUGCUAAACAAUUGGCAAACUUAAGGAGAAUUUCCGAAAUUUACAGAGUGAUUAGACCAUUUACUUCUGAAUAGCUGGUUUUCCAAACUGCCCAUCGGCAUGAACUCAUAAACAAGAGCUAAAUUUUCAUCGUCAUGACAAAAUCCCAGGAGCUUGGUAAGGUUAGGGUGAGAUAUCCUUCCAAUAUAAUGUAGCUUCCUCUGCACGAAAAAAAAAGCAAAAGAGUCCCACACAUGGUCAGUGGUAAAAGAUAUGAAAGAAAUGGAAGCCCCCACAGUAAACCAGGUAGAUGUUUUCCUCCUAAAGCUUCAAAUGGUCAAAGAAAUGAAACAAUCACAACGGAAUAGUGGAUAUCAAAACAGAAGGUACAGAAUGGGAACUGAGACAUAAUUUCCAAUGAAAUGUUCAGUUUAACUAGUAGUUUGACUGAAGACUCAUGGUCAUUGUGCAUCCUGUAAUAUAAAAGACAUAUCGAUAUUGGUAAAAUGUACUUCAAGUCAUACUAGCUUUGUAGAAAAUAUCUAGCUUGCCAUGAACUAACAGUAGCUAUGCAAAAUCAUUGGAAUUUGUGACUGAAACCAUUUAUAAUUUACAAUCAAACUGGUGACUUUAUCUUGCAGUGGUGUAUCCACCCUAUGUGGUUAGACAAGCCUCGCAAUUUGUUUCGGUUCUUGAAUAUAGAAAGAGAAUUCGCUCGAAGGAAGAAGAAAACAAGUUCACUAUGAAAAGAACUGCAUUGCAUUAGUCAAAGAAGGUUGGAAAGACGAGUUACCUAAGGGCUAUGAUCACAUCGAAAAGGUUGAUCAUUACAAGGAUGGAAGACUGCGAACUUAUAUUUGUUCAAUUGCUUCAUUCCUUGCAAUCAAUUACAAUAGGUAGGUUCCUCCAAUAGUUAGCAUCAUACAAGCCAAUGGCCACACACACUCCAUGACAUGGGUUUACUAAGUCAAUUACAUAAUAGAAGAAAUGCAAAAAAGAAAGUUCAUUACCGCUAACGAAAUGGAGCCCUAAAAUCUAUUUUGCUGAGGACCUUAGUGACCAAAUAAUCUCAAGAACAGAAUCGCUUCUCGGAUUCUUUUACUUCGUUUAAAUUCAAAUAAUGCACAUUGUAUACACUAAAGUGGGGGUUUAGAUAACUGAAAACUUCAUGAGGAUUGCGAACAUAUGUUUAGGUAAUAUCACCAACCAAUUAACACUACUCAGUCAGGCACCAACAAUAGUGUUGUCUGCUGCGUUGCACCCCAGCAAAGCUGAUGAGGCCAUCAAUGAACUCUCAGAAUAAUCUGAUCUCUCUAUAACCAAAAUCAGAUGCAAUCCACAAGGGUCCUUUCAGAAACAAAAUUAAAAGGCGAGGCCACCACUUAUAGAAAUCUUGGGAUAAUCAACUUCAAAUACAUUUGGAUUUGCGUUUACAUAGCCAUCAUAAUUCAGGUUGUCCAGUAUUUCUCCUGCUAUUUUCACAAUGAGGGUGUUUAUUGACACGGUUGAGUUGGGCAUGACAAGCUCCCAUCAGUACCAUCAUCAUUUGGGUUGCUUCGGUUUUGUAAUUGACAAAACAAAGUACUUGUACUCCGAGAAAGGAAUUGAAGACGACUUAGUUCUUACCUGCCACGCUACCUGCCACGCUCCAUACCCUUGAGUGCCACCCUGGUUUAAUAUUUUCACAGCUAUUAUAGUCUCUGUAUUUCCAGACUGUUGCUUCCCAUGAAGCAUCCCUUUAUAGACACGACCAAAUCUUCCCUCUCCAAGCAGCGCAUCGGCUGGAAAAUUUUUGGUCGCCUCAUUCAACUCUGCGAAACUGAAGAUGGUCAAGCCGGGGUCUGCCACAAUCAUUCCAUCUCCUAAGGCCUUUUUGUCGCGGGCAGCCAGCAAGUCAUGGCUAUUGCUGGCUGCAGAACCCUUGCUAGCUGCAGAACACUUGCUGGCUUCAGAAGAUGAGGAAGUAGCGCGGGCAGCCGGCAAGUUAGUGCUGGCUGCAGAAGAUGAUGAAGGAGUGACUUCCCACUUCGCUCCUGGAGUUUCAAAAACGGAAAACAAAGGAAUAAAGAAAAUUGCUUCAGACGACAACACGAAGAACAUUAAAGACCCCAAUCUGAAGCACAAAGUUUAAUUUUAUAGACUACAUAGAUGUAAAGUUAAGGAUAAAUGUAGGAAAAAAUUUAAAGAGUACCUGAUUUGAGAUGACCAGUAUGGCUGGGAGUAGCGAAGUCAGGAGUACCAAAACACACCCCCAUCUCUCUCUCUGUCUCUCAACAAGAACUACCGUCUUUUCGCUACCUUUGCCCCUACCAAAUCUUAUUUCCUCUGGAGAAGUGAAAACACCAAAAAAGGCUCUCGCUGCUAAACCAGUUGAUUUUCUUAUGCCCAAAGCAAGUCCCAGAAAUUUCCAAUGCAUUCAUAUAUUGACCCCCGGGGGACUUUUACCAUGAUAUUUGACGUUUCAAAGGUGGUGGGACCCACCAAAAAAAAAAAAAAAAAAAGGAGGAGGAAAGCAGAAAUCGAGCACGCCCGAUUUUAAAACAAACUCCAUUCAGUAGAAUGUAGGAAUCCAUAAGUCGAUCGAGAAGAAGCUUCCUCUUCUUUUCAGCGAGUCGUCUGCCGACUCUGCCCUGCUAACGCCGGAAUAAAAAGUCUAUCCUUUUUUUCAUUAGAGUCAACCAAUAUGGAAAGAUCAUGCAAAUCAUUUGGUGGAGACGUCAAAUGUCUAUGGAAGGGAUUUACACCGCACUCCGCGUUAAUUCUGUUCUCUUAGGUAUCUUUCUUCGCAAUCCGACAACCGAGCCAGAGUCCUUCAUGGAACUAGUUUGCUGCCAGCUUAGCUGGCAAAUAGUCCUAUGAAGCCAAGAGGGGAAUUGAUUCCAUCAUUCGCUUUCGUGCGGUUAAGUCAGGUUUUUGCUUUCUUGCAGUUUAUCCAUCCAUUCACAAACAUUCCCAAAGCAGCAGCACGAAAUGAUGUAGUAUUAUUAGGACCAAAAAAAAUUAUUUCAUUUCCAAGACACAAUCAAUUUCCUUUCCCAAUUUCAUAGACGGCGAGAGAUUAAGGGAAAACCAGCUCUAAUCUUAGGUUCCCGCGAAACAUUCGGACAGCUUGGCCGAGCAGCUUUCUUAACCGCGGACAUGAAGGCGAUGGGCCUUUCUCUGAACGGCCUACAAAUCUAACUAUCUUAGCACCUUCGAAAUGUACGUCCUUCGUAAAUCUUUCGUCGCUACACCUAAAACUUCCAAAGCUUUAGACCUAGACAGCUUCCACAUAAACAAACCACUUCCAGGCACGCUGCUAGACCGAUAGAAAGCAAGUUUCUAGCCACAAUUUUCUCAAAGCCUAUAUAAUUCCCUGCAAUUAGCCAGGGACCCUUUAAAAAGUACCGUCAUUGGCCAUUAAUUCCAAAAUGCACUCUCAGAAGCUCGAAAACUUCCAGGCAAAGAUGAUGUGAUUAAGCUGAGCUUUUUCUUUCAUCAUGCCAUAGAAAGCUGUCUUGAUCUACAUUGCCUGAACCGCCUGUUUUAAAUUGAAUAAAGAUGUAGAGCUGAGCCUAGGAAUCAUCAUCAGCCAUGCGCUGGUGUGGUCAAAAAGAAAUUGCAGGAGAAACCGACUGCUAAAUUCAUCAACUCAAAAUUGAACACACUAAGGGAGUACAAUGUCAUGCACAUACCUACCAAGUUGUUAGACGACCAAUAAGCUUGAUGGAAAAGCAAGGUAAUCAUUCAAAACUAUCCUUAACAAAGUAUGGAAUGUGCCUAUCGAGCUUAGCUGACAUCCCUCUCAGAUACACAACAGCAUUAAUUGGACAACCCCGCUUAAUACCCAUAGUUGGCCCCAUAGACCGAGCCAUAAGC
Molecule: long non-coding RNA, 58233 nt
Filed under: Eucalyptus grandis
Lineage: Eukaryota; Viridiplantae; Streptophyta; Magnoliopsida; Myrtales; Myrtaceae
Description: long non-coding RNA (EGRA_LNC005253)
Source: RNAcentral